AUAAGACCCUGAAAUUGAAAAGCAUUUCAAAUGAACUCUGAAAAGGUUAAAAGUUGGCAUGGUAUCAUCAUUUCACCCACAUAGCAUGUGCAAGAAAGUAGAGAGUAUUACGGCAAAAACUGGAUGCACUUCGUGUACAAAACGGACAAUCUCUUUCGAAGUAUCAGGGUUUCAUACGGAAACUCGUCUGUUACAAAAGGAUUUCAUUUUUUUGAACUUAUUUGAACUCCAUAGUUUUUCUAUGUUCAAGAUGCACCAUUCAAAGCCACAUCAUCAAUUUUCAACCCUUUCUGACUUCAUUUGUUAUUUUUCAUGCAUUUACUGACUUUUUUAGCUAUAAGACCCUGAAAUUGAAAAGCACUACAAAUGAACUCUGAAAAGGUUGAAAGUUGGCAUGGUAUCAUCAUUUCACCCACAUAGCAUGUGCAAGAAAGUAGAGAGGCUUACGGCAAAAACUGGAUGCACUUCGUGUACAAAACGGACAAUCUCUUUCGAAGUAUCAGGGUUUCAUACGGAAACUCGUCUGUUACAAAAGGAUUUCAUUUUUUGAACUUAUUUGAACUCCAUAGUUUUUCUAUGUUCAAAAUGCACCAUUCAAAGACACAUCAUCAAUUUUCAACCCUUUCUGACUUCAUUUGUUAUUUUUCAUGCAUUUACUGAAUUUUUUCAGCUAUAAGACCCUGAAAUUGAAAAGCACUAUAAAUGAACUCUGAAAAGGUUGAAAGUUGGCAUGGUAUCAUCAUUUCACCCACAUAGCAUGUGCAAGAAAGUAGAGAGGCUUACGGGAAAAACUGGAUGCACUUCGUGUACAAAACGGACAAUCUCUUUCGAAGUAUCAAGGUUUCAUACGGAAACUCGUCUGUUACAAAGGGAUUUCAUUUUUUGAACUUAUUUGAACUCCAUACUUUUUCUGUGUUCAAAAUGCACCAUUAAAAGCCACAUCAUCAAUUUUCAACCAUUUCUGACUUCAUUUGUUAUUUUUCAUGCAUUUACUGAUUUUUUCAGCUAUAAGACCCUGAAAUUGAAAAGCACUACAAAUGAACAUGGAUAGAUAAGUGACCAAAUUAAUAGUAGUUCAUCAUCACAUUAAAACCAAAGCACAAACAUAGCUCAAAUUGAACAACAUAUAGCUCUCCAGAGCAUCUAGUUAAACCAUACAUUGAAACUAUGUAAAACCUUUCAAUGCAACAACAAAUGUGAUCAUAAUCACAACUAAGGUAACAAUUGAUCCAACGGCAUAAUGAUACCAAGCCUCGGUAUGAAUGGCAUAUUUUCUAAUCUUUCCAAUCUUCAACCGCAUUGCAUCCAUCUUGAUCUUGUGAUCAUCGACGACAUCCGCAACAUGCAACUCCAAUAUCAUCUUCUCCUCCUCAAUUUUUUUAUUUUUUUCCUUCAAGUGAUUGUUUUCUUCUUCAACUAAAUUUAACCUCUCGACAAUAGGGUCGGUUGGAAUUUCCGGUUCAACAACCUCCUACAUAAAUAAAAUCUAUGUCACGUUGGUCGGCAUAAUUGUCAUAAAUAAUAAAUGAACUAAAUAGUUAUAAAAAGAUAAUAUAUACCACAUCCGGAUCAUAGACAGGACGAGGGACGACGGGGGCGGAUACCAGAACCAUGGCACUAUAUAAUAACAAGGAAUAAUAAAAGUAAGAAAAUUAAACAAGUUUCUAUCUCAAGUAAGAAUUUUUUUCUUUCAGAAAGAAGAUAAGAAAAAGAGGCUCACCACGGUGGUGUCGGCGACGAGAUCGGCGCGGGCGAUCGACGGCGGUGAAGACGGGGACGGGACGUGACGGGCCGCUCAACCUAGACAAAUCUUGGUGAAAAUGGAGCUCGGAGGUCGAGUUUCGAGAGAAGAAAUAUUAACUGGUGUGGCUCGGACAUUUCAUCGAACACCUCAUGUGCAUAGGAGGUGAGCUAGAGCACCCAAAUGUUCUCCCUCGCCGGCCAGCAAAAAACAGAGCAGUGUGUAGUGCUCUGCUUGCCGGCGAUGGGCUAUAUAUAGGCCAAUCAUUUGUCCCGAUUCGUGGCUGGAAUCGGGACCAAUGGAUGUGGGCCAGGAGCGCGGCCCAUUGGUCCCAGUUCGUGCCUAGAACCGGGACAAAUGGGUCCAGACGAACCGGGACCAAAGCCCACGAGGCCCCGGCCAGCCACCUGGGCUCACAAACCGGGACGAAUGCACCCAUUGGUCCCGGUUCGUAUAAGAACCGGGACUAAUGGACUGGCCAGCCCUGAACGAAAGCCCCCUUUUCUACUAGUGGAGCACUUAAAACUUAACUUCCCAAAUCUUUUAACACAAAUUCAUUUGCGUUCAUUGAGCUAAAAGCUUCACUACUCAAUAACGUCAUUAAACAGUACUUUGGGCAUAUAGUUCACCAGUUCCUCAUUGGGAGAACUCAUCCAAACAGAAAGACAAAAAAUUUACAUGCUUCAAUGGAAACACAACUUCCUUGACUACCACUUCAAGUCCAAUAAUUACUUUCUUCAUCUCUUUAAGUUCAUUGUCAACACCUUUUCCCUUCUCCGUUGACAUCUCUGGCCUGCGCACUUGUUUCGUCUCUGCCUUCUCAUAAAGAACUUGGACAUUGUGUCCUCGGUGAUCACGGCUCUAACAACCAGUACAUCAUCAUCCAAUUGACCUCCCCUAAUCAAUCAAUAUGUUCUUCUUUGCAAUACCAAAAGUUGCAACGUUUCUGCAUAGUAUUAGGCCAACAACGAGCUCAAAUUACUUGAAAUGAAGAACAUUCACAAAAUAUUGCACUUACUUUGCCCUUUUCACACUUGUAGAAGACCCAUCUAGGCUGGUUCUCCGCUUCAUGGAUACCCGGAGCAGCACCAGCCAUUAGCAGUCGUUGCACUUUAUGAGCGACAAAGGCAGGCUAAUGCACGAAGGCCGAGCCCGGUCGACUGACAGAUGAGGGUCUGCCAGUAGUUAGAGGGGCAGAGAGAUGCGACCGCCGAGAGGAGGAAGACAUCCCACAAGGAGCUCCGGAGGCAGCAGGGUGUUAGAAUUAAUCUGAGGUACACGACUGAUCCACGAGGAAUAAGCUAUCACAACACGACGACGACACUGAGAUUUGUUAACGAGGUUAGGAGAACUCGCCUCCUCUCCAGGGCAAUGAUUAUGGGCGCUCCUCCCAGAGAUAUCGUAACACUGGCCGCCCUGGACGCCGACACAUGCCACCGGCUCCCCUCCAUUCCUGUCACUAUCUAGUGGUUAUGGGUUACAACUUGGGGUGCCUCAUCAUAUAUAAGAGGCCAAGAGCAUCCAACACUACAAGUAACACUACACAUAUCCUACCCACCACAACACCAAGUCAUAACCCGAUUCAUACACAAUAUACACAUACAGAAGAAACUCCAUCUUAGCAGAUAUUCUCCACCACCUUGAAUUCAUCCAUGCAUCAAACUUCCAUGUACUAUGGACUUGGGUUGUCUUCUUCCUAUCUUACGUAGAGCUACUCGACGAGCCUGCCCAGACCCGCCACCUCUGUGGGACCCUGCUGCUACUCUUGCAACUAUAGUCUCCAUGACUCCACCUGCGAUAGUGCUCCCUUGGAACUUGUAAAGAUGUGAAGCCAUCUUCUCUCCCAUCAUCAUGGUCACCUCACCUUCCAUGAUUUUCAUGGUCUUGUUAUCCCGGCCACAACGGAAUACCAUACCACCAUCAUGAAGAACUCCAAACAAAAUUAGAUUCCUCCUUAGGCUGGGCACAUGCCUGACUCCUCGAAGCAUCCGAACAACUUCGUCAAACAUCUUGAUUUUGAUGUCACCUACUCCAGCAACACGAUACCUUGUGUCAUCACCCACAUAGGCCAAACAAAACUGCCAAACUUGUAUGAAGAGAACCACUCCAUGUUGGGUGUCCCAUGGAAAGAGCUAGCUGAAUCCAACAUCGACACUUCUCUUUUGAUUGAUCACAUGUACUCCCUCCGUCCCGAUAUUCUUGUCUUAAAUUUGUCUAGAUAUAGAUUUAUCUAGUCACGUUCUAGUGUUAGAUACAUCCGUAUCUAGACAAACCUAAGACAAGAAUUUUAGGACGGAGGGAGUAUGAUACAACGAGGACAUCACUACUGUUGCCUAAGUCAUCACCAUGAGUUGCCGUAUUAGCACUUGACCCGUCAUUGAGAUUUGGACAGUCCUUUCUCAUAUGUCCCUACUGCUUACACUUGUGACAUUGUACCUUCUUUUUCUUGUUCUUUCCUUCCUCUGCUCCUCAUCCUUGACUAACAAACCUUCACCACGAAAGACUUCCACCGUGUUCUUCUUUCUCAUAUCAUAAGAUAGCAAUGCCGCAAUAAUAUCCGCAUUCUUCAUGGUUUCCUUGCCGUGUGUCAAAGUAGUGAUUAAAUGCUCAUAGGACUAUGGCAACGAACAAAGAAGAAGAAUUGCCCAAUCCUCAUCAGGAAUGGUCGCACCCAAGCAUGUUAGAUCUGUCACGACUUGAUUAUAGGGUUUAACACACUCUACAAGAUCUGACCCCUCCCGCAUCUUCAUCCCAUACAAUUUUUGCUUCAAAUACACCUUGGUCGUCGCAGUUUUAGACAUAAAUUGACCUUUUGGAUUGUCUCAGAUCUUAUCUUCUUCAAUGAAUUCUCGUCCAUCACAUGAUAAAUGACCUAGCCUGAUAGACAUAACCGUAUAGUCCCGGCUGCUUUCAUCUGUAACUCCUGCCAAUCGUAAACCUCGGAGUGAAGGGAGUAAGAAAGAAGACAACCUUCAUUUCAGGAUUGAAUGAUCUGCUGAUCAUCAAAGCGAGGUGAUCUCGUUGCCACCUUGAGAAAUACUCCUAGUAUCAUUUUCCAACGCUGAUGUUGUGUUUACGCUGCUCGUCAUUGUCAUCCAAAGAUUUUCUGCCGGCACAUCGACCAUAAGAUGCCGGAACAGCGGGUUCGCCGGCAAAGCAAUGUACAUCUCUCCCUCCAGCAUCUUCACCACCGCGCCCAUAGGCGGCUUCGCCUUCGAUUGCCGUUGCAUGCACCAGAACACCACCUUGCACAUCCUCCCCGCCAGCCCCCUACACAGCUGCCACUGCAGGUCAUCCACUGCAUCCAUGCCAUGGCAGCUCGGCGUCAUAAGCUCCACUUGUCGGCCACUUUCGUACUUGGUCCAUGCCAGCUUAGGGACCAUUGCUGGCUCUCGGGCGCGGCCUCGUCGAAGUUCCUCCGUCGACCGACGGGCACGAGCAGCAACAUGCCAAAGCUAUAAACGUUGCGCUUCUCCGUCACACCAAAACGCAUCCACGUCUUUGGCACCGCAUUGUCAGGUGUACCGCGCACGCCAGACACCAAGACAUGCAUGUCUGCGUGGUCCACAAAUCGCGUGAGCCUGGAGUCGGCUACCUUGGGCGUGAGGGUUCCACCGAGAAGGACGUUGCCGCCCUUGCUGUCGUAGUGGAUGAUCUUCUGCUGGCACUCCUGGUGGAGGUACCUGAGGACCUGCGAUACGCCGGUGGUGACCGUGGUCAUGCCCAUGUCGGCGUGGUUGAAGAGGUAGGCGUCGAGCGUGUCGUGCUGCAUGAACUCGUACACCAGCGCGCGCAUGGAGGCGAGUCGAAGCAAAACCCGAACUGCCUAACGAGGUUGAUGUGGUGCAUCCUGCGCCUCAUUGCAUGUCCAGCGGUAUUCGGUCUGGGCCGCAAGGCGGACGAGUGUGAAAGGCUUGCACUGAAUUGCACGGUGCUAAAUAGUCUUGCAAGCAACUCAUUGCUCAGAGACCCCUGUAAGCAGAUGAUGGAGUAGCUCUUUUGUUUGCUCGGAAGGGACGAGGCAGAGAGGCACACCAAAGAUCCCUGUAAGCAGAUGCCAGGAGUUAAUCUUCCAUUAUUACACAAAGAAUGGUCCUUCGAAAAAUUAUUACACAAAGAAUGUGUGCCAAAGAUUUGAAGCACACAUGGUACCAAAUUGUCCCUAGAAAAGAAUAAAGAAUACUGGGGUACUAAUUAGCCCAAAAUGACAUGGAAGCAAGAAUGAGAUUAGAAUCUCUUGACAGAUUAUCAUCAAUCUUGUCAGUCAAAACUUCUUUUUCUUCUCCCCUGUUUUUCCGUUCUUUUAAUAAAUCAUACAAGUUCACAAGAAACGCGUCGACCGCAGUUCUCCACCUAUGCUUCUACAUCAUUUUCUUAAAAAAAAUUGUAGGAAAUGUGGUACAGUACUUGCUGAUAGUCAUUAGCUAUUUGUAAACUUGUAGGUAGGUUUUGGGCCACUGCUGAGAUCUUAUCUGAUUCUUCAGCAACAGUCUGUUAUGACCUCAUGGGCAUGAACAACUGUCAGACUAGAUAUCUCCAUCUCAUGGGCCACUCUAGAUAUUUCAUCUCAUCGCGGAGAAAUUGUCAUUGCCCAGUAUCUUCAUUAGGCACAGCGAGCGGCCUGAUAUCAAUUAGAGGACAAAGAAGACCGGGAUGGAGCUGCAAUCCAUAAUGUGAGAGUAUGUCGGUAUAGUGCGGUCAAAGAAGCAGCUGAAGGAUGCAUAAUGGAAGAUUGGUGAUCUAGAUUGGUGAUCUAGAAUCAGAGUGGGAAGAAUUUUUAUUCAGGAGGGGUUGGAAGCCAAGCACGGUGGGGACCGAGGCCUGCGAAAUGAGGAACCUCUUCUGCUGCGCAAAGCUUGUUGUCAAGAGCGCUCUUGCAAGGAAGGAGAGGCACUUCACACAGAGGACAACCCACAUACUAUCCAAGAGCUGACAUGGAGUUCAAAGCCAUUGCAGAGGCAGCAGCAGUGCAAAUAAUUGCCACACCCACACCAUGAUGUCUUCAUUGCUCAAACACAGAUCAGGGUUUUUUAACAGCGAGUGUAAAACAUAUGAGUCAAGUAUGCCAAACUUGAACUGAAAUGAUACAUAUAGGCAUAAGCAUAAUGGCUAAUACAGUAUCAUCAUCACAGCAAGGUGCUGCCAGGAAGAAGAACUCAGCUAAUAAUAUCAUCAUAGUAACCAUUUGGCGCAAAUACUAAAGCUUCAUGAUCAAUGGCCAAUUGUAGUGUUUGGACUUUAGAAAUCAUUUAUAGCAGAGAAGUGAAAUUCUUCUGUUCUCUUACUCCCCGAAAGACAGCAAUAACUCUCAACCGUAACUUAUCAAUAGGUCAUUUUUGGAAUGACACAAACAUGCAAAGCCUACAAAAUGCCCUUUUCAUCCAUGAUAUAUGAAGUAUACAUAAGACAUAGACACAGGGAAUUAUGCAUGCAACACCUAAUCAGCCAGGUCACUAUCCACCCUAAAUACUGCAGUGCCUUGAGGAAAUUCGAACUAGGCAAUAUAUCCAACUACCGAUAAACAGCAACUAACAACCAUAAGGCUUAAUUCACACUUCUCUAAUUCUAGUUCACGCUGGAGCAAUCAGGAUAACAACACAUCUAGAGCAUACCAAGAAGAUGAGAGCAUAACCAUGGUCAGUUAAGUGCUGUGUAAUAACAACAGCCCUCACGCCAACUGAUAUCAUAGCAUCAAGUACCCUGAAUGCUUUCUCCAUCUUGGCGAUAAGCAAUAUCCAUUGAUAAUUUUAGUGAAUGCAGUAGGAUCAGACCUCUCACCAGUAUGGGUAACCAAGUCAAAGAUGUCGUGUUCAUCAAUUACCUUUCCGCAGCUUAUGAUGAAUAUCCCUGUUCUUCAUUUUGGUAAUAAAUUUCUCGGCUUUCAUGGAAUCACCAUGAUUAAAAUAACCCUCAACCAUGCACAUGUAAACUUCGGUGUCAACUGGUACUCCCAUAUCAAUCAUCUCACUGAAUUUUUCCAUCGCAUCAUCCAUCCUGCCCAUCUUGCAAAAUGCAGAUAUCACAGUUAAAUAAGUGAAUUCAUUAGGCUUCACACCCUGCUUCAACAUGUCUUCAAGGAAAAGCAUGGCCACAUCCAUCAUGCCAUACUUAGCAUAUGCAUUAAUCAGUAUGUUGAAACAACGGAGGUCGGGUACAACUCCAUCUCUUGCCAUCAGCUCACAGAGAUCAAUCAUUUUAACAAGGGAUCCUUCUAUAGCGUACCCGUGGAGCAUAAUAGUGUAUGAGACUAUAUCUGGUUUUCGGCCAUUCACGGCCAUGGAGUAAAAUAUUUCCUCGGCAUCUUUGAUUCUUCCAUGCUUGCAAAGGUAGUCCAUGACUGAGCUGCAAAUAACAACGCCUGGCAUACUGCCUUGGCUUCUCAUUGCUUUCAACAGCCUAGCGACUUCUUUCAACUGGCCCAAAGUUGAAUAUCCUUGGAUCAAGCUACUAUAUGUGACAGCAUUUGGUUGGACACCAUUAUGAACCAUUGAUCGAAGAACUACCUCUGCCUUUUCCAUUGCUCUUGCUUUGCAUAGCGCAUCGAUAAAGGAGUUAUACGUCACCACAUCGGGCACAACCCCCUGCUGCAUCAUUUCAUGGAGCAGAUUGCAUGCUUUGCUUAUUUCACCCUCCUUAAAGAAGCCAUCGAUUACCAAGCUGUAUGACACCACGCUGGGAGAGUGGUCAGAUCCUUUUUCGGCCAUCAUCCGGAGCAAGUCAAGCACAAGCUGGCUCCUACCACUGUCGCAGAAACUCUUGAGAAUUACUGAGUAGGAGAUGGCAUUAGGCAGGUCGUCGGGCAUCCUGUGGAGCAGCACGCCCAAAGCCUCCUCCGUGCGCUUCAUGUCACAGAGGCACUUGAGUAAGCUGCUGUAGGUAAUGGCAUUCGUCUUGAUGCCUGUCUUGAGUAGGCGGCCGAAGAAGGCAAGCCCUAGGUCUGGGCGGCAUGCUCGCUGGCAACACUCAAUUAGUAUGCUGUAGGUGUGAAUGGUGGGUGCUGGCACCUGGCGACGGCCUGCUCGGGCCAUGCGGUUGAAGAGAUCAAUGGCGAGGGCAGGGGCAUCGGUGCAGAUGGUGGAGGACGGCGCACGCGCAAGGGCAGCAAAUAAGCCGUUGAGUGCACGUACUGAUACUGGGACUGGUUGGCGCAGCAUUUCGUCGAACAGUUGGUGCACGAGGUCUGGCCUGAGCGUCCUGGAGUGCAGAUGGCCUUGGAGUUUGUCCAGCAGCUCGUUGGCGUGUGAAGAAACAGAGUUGGAGAAAGAGCGGACCUGAAGGCGUGACAUUGUCACCGUCCUGGUGGGUGGUGGGAGGAGGACGGACGGAGGAGACACUAGACUGGGUGGUGUCGCUCGCUUCUUCUUGCAGCGGCGGUGAGUCCGAGCACGCGCCGGUGACGACCAACCACGGGAGCGUCUAGUGGCGGGAGGACGGUGGAGGGAGGUGUGGGAUUGGGGAAUUUUAGAUUCGAUUUGGAGCUUGGCGCGACUGGGAUUCCAUUUGCUGGGUGGGUGCACCAAUCAUUUUACUCCCACAUGGGAUUGGGUGGUGUUCGUACAAGCAUGCAUCAUGUAAUUCUGUUGGAUAUUUUGAAAAAAAAAAUUGGUAUUUAGAUAUUUUAAGAUUCUCAUGAUGUUUAUGCUCUUGCUCUCUUUUUUAUGGGCCGUUUGGUUGUCUCCGGUAAAUAGUGCAGGUACAGAGGACAAAAAUGAGUCAGGCUGACCAGGGCCUGGUUAAGAGAAAAUAAGGCAAAAACGAUGUUGACAAAUAGUUUGGUUGUCUGCAUGUGAUGUCUUGUCACCGUGAAGCAAUUUUCAUUCGGUGUUUGAUUGCAUACACGCAUGGUGCUUAGUAGCUAACAACUACACUUAACAGGCAAGGAAGUGAACCCUGGAGCUGCAGCAGACUUGCUCGCCCACGCACUCGCUGGAGCUAUAGCAGCCAGACUCCUCCGCGCGCUCGCCGAAGCUGCAGCAGUUGCCCGGCUCGCCCGGCCAAGCUGUGCGUCUCUGCGAAGCGGCUGCACGUCGUGCGUGCGUCGGCGAGUCCAACCAUCGCCCCGCCCUGGCCCUCCGCGUGCCCGUGCAGACCGUCGAGAGGGCCGCCAUGAUGGGGAGGGCCCUUCUUGACCCGCGCGAUCUGAAGCGCGCCUCCCUUCCUCAUCGAUCGAGCCCAACAGCUUCGUGGCUCGUGCAAGGUGGAGGCCAGCUGCAUCUGCAGCCCGUUGAGAUGACCACGGACUGGACGACGAAGGCCACCUACUCGAGGCAAGCCGGGCCGCCCCUCCACGCAGUGCAAGGCCAGCAGCUCCGUGGCUGGUACCAUGGCCGGGGCCAUCUUGUAAGCCUGGGUAGCGGCGGCUAUUGCCCACGAUUCACGAGGUACCGAUGUCUAUUGCGUGCGCGGCCGGGCAGGUGGGAGUGGUGCGGCUGCCCCGUGGGCGCGUGGUGCACAAGCGGCGAGUGGGCGCGCGCGGUGGGUCAACGCCGGCGGCUGACGCGUGGUUGGGGCACUGGUGGUUAUUGCACGCGUGUGCGGGAGGAGGUAGUCACAUGCGCGCGCCGAUGGCAAGCGGGGCGGCGCAGCGACAGGGGCUAUUGUGCGCGCGGGCACGCGGGCCGGGCAGCGGUGGCGGCUGUCGUGUGGGCGGGCGGGGGCGGCGGCGGCUGUCGGUUNNNNNNNNNNNNNNNNNNNNNNNNNNNNNNNNNNNNNNNNNNNNNNNNNNNNNNNNNNNNNNNNNNNNNNNNNNNNNNNNNNNNNNNNNNNNNNNNNNNNNNNNNNNNNNNNNNNNNNNNNNNNNNNNNNNNNNNNNNNNNNNNNNNNNNNNNNNNNNNNNNNNNNNNNNNNNNNNNNNNNNNNNNNNNNNNNNNNNNNNNNNNNNNNNNNNNNNNNNNNNNNNNNNNNNNNNNNNNNNNNNNNNNNNNNNNNNNNNNNNNNNNNNNNNNNNNNNNNNNNNNNNNNNNNNNNNNNNNNNNNNNNNNNNNNNNNNNNNNNNNNNNNNNNNNNNNNNNNNNNNNNNNNNNNNNNNNNNNNNNNNNNNNNNNNNNNNNNNNNNNNNNNNNNNNNNNNNNNNNNNNNNNNNNNNNNNNNNNNNNNNNNNNNNNNNNNNNNNNNNNNNNNNNNNNNNNNNNNNNNNNNNNNNNNNNNNNNNNNNNNNNNNNNNNNNNNNNNNNNNNNNNNNNNNNNNNNNCAGCGAGCGCGGACGCGUGGAUAGGGCAACGGCGGCAGCUGACGCGUGGGCGGGGCAGUGGUGGCUGUUGCGCGCGGGGGGCGGCGAGUGCAGGCGGGGCGCGCGGCGGCAGUCGCGUGGGCGUGCCGACGGCAAGUGGGGGCGGGGCAGCAGCAAGGGCUGUUGCGCGCGCGGGGGCGGUGAACGGGGGCGGGGCAGCGGCGGCUGGUGCGCGCGCGGGCAGCGAGCACGGGCGGCAACGAGAGACGGAUGAAGGGGGCGAGGGGAUAAGGUGAUUAACAGCUAACACAUUUUCAUGGAGCCACCCAUGUGUGCUUCCUCGCAUCUCUUGAGUCUCGCUUGCUAGAAACUGCCGAUUUGGCAGUUCCCAGUGAGCCACACCCAGAGGUGUUUUAAGAAUCGUGCGAUGUAAGCCCAAUAGCAUACAUAGGUAAUCAAACAGCUCAACACCAAAACGAUGAUGCAUACAUCAAGCCUUAUUUUGAUUCUAUGGGCAACCAAACGCACCCUAUAUUUUCUAUAUAUAUAUAUAUAUAUAUAUAUUGUUGUUCACUGGAGUAAACAAAUAUAAGGAGUAAAAACAGUUCAUAACAGAGCUUAAAACUUAACUUCCCAAAUCUUUUAACACAAAUUCAUUUGCGUUCAUUGAGCUAAAAGCUUCACUACUCAACUACGUCAUUAAACAAUACUUUGGGCAUAUAGUUCACCAGUUCCUCGCUGGGAGAACUCAUCCAAACAGAAAGACAAAAAAAUUACACGCUUCAACGGAAACACAACUUCCUUAACUACUACUUCAAGUCCAAUAAUUACUUUCUUCAUCUCUUUAAGUUCAUUGCCAACACCUUUUCCCUUCUCCGUUGACAUCUCUGGCCUGCGCACUUGUUUCGUCUCUGCCUUCUCAUAAAGAACUUGGACAUUGUGUCCUCGGUGAUCGUGGCUCUAACAACUAGUACAUCAACAUCCAAUUGACCUCCCCUAAUCAAUCAAUAUAUUCUUCUUUGCAAUACCAAAAGUUGCAACCUUUCUGCAUAGUAUUAGGCCAACAACGAGCUCAAAUUUCUUGAAAUGAAGAACAUACACAAAAUAUUGCACUUACUUUGCCAUUUUCACAAUUGUAGAAGACCCAUCUUGGGUGGUUCUCCGCGUCGCGGAGACCCGGAGCAGCACCAGCCGUUCGCAGUCAUUGCACUUUAUGAGCGAAAAAGGCGGGCUAAUGCGCGAAGGCCGAGCCCGGUCGACUGACAGAUGAGGGUCUGCCGGUAGUUAGAGGGGCAGAGAGAUGCGGCCGCCGUGAGGAGGAAUACAUCCCACGAGGAGCUCCAGAGAUAGCAGGGUGUUAGAAUUAAUCUGAGGUACACGACCGAUCCACGAGGAAUAAGCUAUCACAACAUGAUGAUGACAUCGAGAUUUUUAACGAGGUUAGGCGAACUCGCCUACUCUCCAGGGCAAUGAUUACGGGCGCUCCUCCCAAAGAUAUCGUAACACUGGCUGCCCUGGACGCCGACACAUGCCACCGGCUCCCCUCCAUUCCUGUCACUAUCUAGUGGUUAUGGGUUACAACUUGGGGUGCCUCAUCAUGUAUAAGAGGCCAAGAGCACAACGUAUCCGACUCCAACACUACAAGUAACACUACACGUAUCCUACCUACUACAACACCAAGUCUAAACAUAACUCGAUUCAUACACAAUAUACACAUACAGAAGAAACUCUAUCUUAGCGAAUAUUCUCCACCACCUUGAAUUCAUCCAUGCAUCAAACUUCCAUGUAUUAUGGACUUGGGUUGUCUUCUUCCUAUCUUACGUAGAGCUACUCGACGAGCCUGCCUAGACCCACCACCUCUGUGGGACCCUGCUGCUACUCUUGCAACUACAGUCUCCAUGACUCCACCUGCGAUAGUGCUCCCUUGGAACUUGUGAAGAUGUGAAGCCAUAUUCUCUCCCAUCAUCACGGUCACCUCACCUUCCAUGUUUUUCAUGGUCUUCUUAUCCCGACCACAAUGGAAUACCAUACCACCAUCAUGAAGAACUCCAAACAAAAUUAGAUUCCUCCUUAGCCCUGGCACAUGCCUGACUCCUAGAAGCAUCCGAACAACUUCAUCAAACAUCUUGAUUUUGAUGUCACCUACUCCAGCAACACGAUAACUUGUUUCAUCACCCACAUAGGCCAAACGAAACUUCCAAACUUGUAUGAAGAGAACCACUCCAUGUUGGGUGUCGCAUGGAAUGAGCUAGCUGAAUCCAACAUCCACACUUCUCUUUUGCUUGAUCACAUGUAUGAUACUACGAGGACAUCACUACUGUUGCCUAAGUCAUCACCAUGAGUUUCCAUAUUAGCACUUGUAACACCUCGGUGUAAUGAUGCUACAGUAACCCCUGGGGUUAAGUUAAUCUUUUUGCUGAACAUGUGUCUGAUCAUUAUUAUCUCAUGUUUCUUUCAACUUCCCCUUUGAAGGCAAUUUCAAAUGCUAAGUGAAAUUCAAAAUUUCUCAAACAUGAAAACAAAAAUGUUCAUCAUGUGCCAAAUAUUCCACAACUAAUAUAUUGGUGAACCAACAUUUUUGCAAAGGGUUUAAGUGGCCUAAACUACUUAAAACAGUGACCUAAGCAAUAAAUUAAAUGCCCUUUUUAAUUUAUAUAAAAUUGGCAACUAUUCCAAAAGCCUCCCAACCUUUUUGUGGCAGUGCACUUUAAUUCUUUGAAGUUGUUUUGGCCAAUGGCAUAAUUUUGCAAAGUCAUUAUUGGCCAAAAAUAAAAUGCAAAAGCUGCUGAAAAUAAAAAGAAAAACUAAAAGAAAGAAAAAGCAGAGGAGAGAGAGAGAAAGCCCCCUGCCUCAUGAUACGUACAUUUUGCAUCAUGCUUUUACAUGGAUAUUUAUUGCAUUAUGAGAUGUUAUUACUCGUUAUGUCACAAUACUUAUGCAUAUUCUCUCUUAUUUUACAGGGUUUACAUAAGGAGGGAGAAUGCCGGCAGCUGGAAUUCUGGGCUGGAAAAGGAGCAAAUAUUAGAGACCUAUUCUGCACAACUCCAGAAGUCCUCAAACUCCACGAAAGUCAUUUUUGGAAAUAAUAAAAAAUAUUGAGCGGAAGAAGUACAUCAGAGGGGGACCCACCUGGCCACGAGGGUGGGAGGCGCGCCCUACCCCCAGGCCACGCCCCCUGCCUCGUGGGCCCCCUGUUGUUGUUGGGUUUCGUAGUAAUUUCAAAAAAUUUCCUACGCACACGCAAGAUCAUGUGAUGCAUAGCAACGAGGGGAGAGUAUUGUCUACGUACCCAACGCAGACCGACUGCGGAAGCGAUGACACGACGUAGAGGAAGUAGUCGUACGUCUUCUCGAUCCAACCGAUCAAACACCGAAACUACGGCACCUCCGAGUUCGAGCACACGUUCAGCUCGAUGACGAUCCCCGGACUCCGAUCCAGCAAAGUGUCGGAGAAGAGUUUCGUCAGCACGACGGCGUGGUGACGUUCUUGAUGAACUACAGCAGCAGGGCUUCGCCUAAACUCCGCUACAAUAUUAUCGAGGAAUAUGGUGGCAGGGGGCACCGCACACGGCUAAGGAAUCGAUCACGUGGAUCAACUUGUGUCAACUUGUGUGUUUAGAGGUGCCCCUGCCUCCGUAUAUAAAGGAGCCAAGGGGGAGGGGGCGCCGGCCAAGAGGGAGAGGCGCAGGAGGAGUCCUACUCCUACCGGGAGUAGGACUCCCCCCCCCCAAUCCUAUUCCAACUAGGAUUCCCAAGGGGAAAGAGGGAGAGGGGUGGCCGGCCACCUCUCCUAGUCCUAAUAGGACUAGGGGAAGGGGGGAGGCGCGCAGCCCCCUUGGGCUGCCCCUUUCUCCUUUCCACUAAGGCCCAUGAUGGCCCAUAUGGUUCCCGGGGGGUUCCGGUAACCCUCCCGGUAUUCCGGUAAAAUCCCGAUUUCACCCGGAACACUUCCGAUAUCCAAAUAUAGGCUUCCAAUAUAUCAAUCUUUACGUCUCGACCAUUUCGAGACUCCUAGUCAUGUCCGUGAUCACAUCCGGGACUCCGAACAACCUUCGGUACAUCAAAAUGCAUAAACUCAUAAUAUAACUGUCAUCGUAACCUUAAGCGUGCGGACCCUACGGGUUCGAGAACAAUGUAGACAUGACCGAGACACGUCACCGGUCAAUAACCAAUAGCGGGACCUGGAUGCCCAUAUUGGCUCCUACAUAUUCUACGAAGAUCUUUAUCGGUCAGACCGCAUAACAACAUACGUUGUUCCCUUUGUCAUCGGUAUGUUACUUGCCCGAGAUUCGAUCGUCGGUAUCCAAUACCUAGUUCAAUCUCGUUACUGGCAAGUCUCUUUACUCGUUCCGUAAUACAUCAUCUCACAACUAACAUAUUAGUUGUAAUGCUUGUAAGGCUUAUGUGAUGUGUAUUACCGAGAGGGCCCAGAGAUACCUCUCCGACAAUCGGAGUGACAAAUCCUAAUCUCGAAAUACGCCAACCCAACAUCGACCAUUGGAGACACCUGUAGUACUCCUUUAUAAUCACCCAGUUACGUUGUGACGUUUGGUAGUACCCAAAGUGUUCCUCCGGUAAACGGGAGUUGCAUAAUCUCAUAGUCAUAGGAACAUGUAUAAGUCAUGAAGAAAGCAAUAGCAACAUACUAAACGAUCAGGUGCUAAGCUAAUGGAAUGGGUCAUGUCAAUCAGAUCAUUCAACUAAUGAUGUGACCUCGUUAAUCAAAUAACAACUCAUUGUUCAUGGUCAGGAAACAUAACCAUCUUUGAUUAACGAGCUAGUCAAGUAGAGGCAUAUUAGUGACACUCUGUUUGUCUAUGUAUUCACACAUGUAUUAUGUUUCCGGUAAAUACAAUUCUAGCAUGAAUAAUAAACAUUUAUCAUGAUUAUCAGGAAAUAAAUAAUAACUUUAUUAUUGCCUCUAGGGCAUAUUUCCUUCAGUCUCCCACUUGCACUAGAGUCAAUAAUCUAGUUCACAUCGCCAUGUGAUUUAACAGCAAUAGUUCACAUCACCAUGUGAUUAACACCCAUAGUUCACAUGGCUAUGUGACCAACACCCAAAGGUUUUACUAGAUUCAGUAAUUUAGUUCACAUCGCUAUGUGAUUAACACCCAAGGAGUACUAAGGUGUGAUCAUGUUUUGCUUGUGAGAGAAUCUUAGUCAACGGGUCUGCCACAUUCAGAUCCUCAUGUAUUUUGCAAAUUUCUAUGUCAACAAUGCUCUGCAUGGAGCUACUCUAGCUAAUUGCUCCCACUUUCAAUAUGUAUCUAGAUCGAGACUUAGAGUCAUCUAGAUUAGUGUCAAACUUGCAUCGGCGUAACCCUUUACGACGAACCUUUUUCCACUUCCAUAAUCGAGAAACAUAUCCUUAUUUCACUAAGGAUAAUUUUGACCGCUGUCCAGUGAUCUACUCCUAGAUCAUUAUUGUACUCCCUUGCCAAACUCAGUGGUAGGGCAUACAAUAGAUCUGGUAUACAGCAUGGCAUACUUUAUAGAACCUAUGACUGAGGCAUAGGGAAUGACUUUUGUUCUCUUUCUAUUUUCUGCCGUGGUCGGGCUUUGAGUCUUACUCAACUUCACACCUUGUAACACAGGCAAGAACUCUUUCUUUGACUGUUCCAUUUUGAACUACUUCAAAAUCUUGUCAAGGUAUGUACUCAUUGGAAAAACUUAUCAAGCGUCUUGAUCUAUCUAUAAAUCUUGAUACUCAAUAUGUAAGCAGCUUUACCGAAGUCUUUCUUUGAAAAAACUCCUUUCAAACAUUCCUUUAUGCUUUACAGAAUAAUUCUACAUUAUUUCCGAUCAACAAUAUGUCAUUCACAUAUACUUCAUCAGAAAUGCUGUAGUACUCCCACUCACUUUCUUGUAAAUACAGGCUUCACCGCAAGUCUGUAUAAAACUAUAUGCUUUGAUCAACUCAUCAAAGCGUAUAUUCCAACUCCGAGAUGCUUGCACCAGUCCACAGAUGGAUCGCUGGAGCUUGCACAUUUUGUUAGCACCUUUCGGAUUGACAAAACCUUCUGCUGCAUCAUAUACAACUCUUCUUUAAUAAAUCCAUUAAGGAAUGCAGUUUUGUUUAUCCAUUUGCCAGAUUUCAUAAAAAACGGCAAUUACUAACAUGAUUCAGACAGACUCAAGCAUAGAUACGAUUGAGAAGCUCUCAUUGUAGUCAACACCUUGAACUUGUCGAAAACCUUUCGCGACAAUUCUAGCUUUGUAGAUAGUAACACUACUAUCAGCGUCCGUCUUCCUCUUGAAGAUCCAUUUAUUCUCAAUUGCUUGCCGAUCAUCGGGCAAGUCAACCAAAGUCCAAACUUUGUUCUCAUACAUGGAUCAUAUCUCAGACUUCAUGGCCUCAAACCAUUUCGCGGAAUCUGGGCUCAUCAUCGCUUCCUCAUAGUUCGUAGGUUUGUCAUAGUCAAGUAACAUGACCUCCAAAACAGGAUUACCGUACCACUCUGGUGCGGAUCUCACUCUGGUUUACCUACGAGAUUCGGUAGUAACUUGAUCUGAAGUUACAUGAUCAUCAUCAUUAGCUUCCUUACUAAUUGGUGUAGUAGUCACAAGAACAGAUUUUUUGUGAUGAACUACUUUCCAAUAAGGGAGAAGGUACAAUUACCUUAUCAAGUUUUCUACUUUCCUCCCACUCACUUCUUUCGAGAGAAACUCCUUCUCCAGAAAAACUCCGAAUUUAGCAACAAAAGUCUUGCCUUCGGAUUUGUGAUAGAAGGUGUACCCAACAGUUUCCUUUGGGUAUCCUAUGAAGACGCACUUCUCCGAUUUGAGUUUGAGCUUAUCAGGUUGAAACUUUUUCACAUAAGCAUUGCAACCUCAAACUUUAAGAAACGACAGCUUAGGUUUCUUGCCAAACCAUAGUUCAUACGGUGUCGUCUCAACGGAUUUAGAUGGUGCCCUUUUAACGUGAAUGCAGCUGUCUCUAAUGCAUAACCCCAAAAUGAUAGUGGUAGAUCGGUAAGAGACAUCAUAGAUCGCACCAUAUCUAAUAAAGUACGGUUAUGACGUUCGGACACACCAUUACAUUGUGGUGUUCCAGGUGGCGUGAGUUUGUGAAACUAUUCCACAUUGUUUUAAUUGAAGACCAAACUCGUAACUCAAAUAUUUGUCUCCGCGAUCAGAUCGUAGAAACUUUAUUUUCUUGUCACGAUAAUUUUCCACUUCACUCUGAAAUUCUUUGAACUUUUCAAAUGUUUCAGACUUAUGUUUCAUCAAGUAGAUAUACCCAUAUCUGCUCAAAUCAUCUAUGAAGUUCAGAAAAUAACGAUACUUGCCGUGAGCCUUAACACUCAUCGGACCGCAUACAUCAGUAUGUAUUAUUUCCAAUAAGUCAGUUGCUCGCUCCGGAGAACGGAGUCUUAGUCAUCUUGCCCAUGAGGCAUGGUUCGCAAGCAUCAAGUGAUUCAUAAUAAAGUGAUUCCAAAAUCCCAUUAGCAUGGAGUUUCUUCAUGCGCUUUACACCAAUAUGACCUAAACGGCAGUGCUACAAAUAAGCUGCACUAUCAUUAUUAACUUUGCAUCUUUUGGUUUCAAUAUUAUGAUUAUGUGUAUCACUACGAUCGAGAUCCAAUGAACUAUUUUCAUUGGGUGUGUAACCAUAUAAGGUUUUAUUCAUGUAAAUAGAAUAACAAUUUAUUCUCUUACUUAAAUGAAUAACCGUAUUACAAUAAACAUGAUCAAAUCAUAUUCAUGCUCAACGCAAACACCAAAUAACACUUAUUCAGGUUCAACACUAAUCCCGAAAGUAUAGGGGAGUGUGUGAUGAUGAUCAUAUCAAUCUUGGAACUACUUCCAACACACAUCGUCACUUCACCCUUAACUAGUCUCUGUUUAUUCUGCAACUCCCGUUUCAAGUUACUAAUCUUAGCAACUGAACUAGUAUCAAAUACUGAGGGGUUGCUAUAAACACUAGUAAAGUACACAUCAAUAACAUGUAUAUCAAAUAUACUUAUGUUCACUUUGCCAUCCUUCUUAUCCGCCAAUCACUUGGGGUAGAUCCGCUUCCAGUGACCAGUCCCUUUGCAGUAGAAACACUUAGUCUCAGGCUUAGGAUCAGACUUGGGCUUCUUCACUUGAGCAGCAACUUGCUUGCUGUUCUUCUUGAAGUUACCCUUCUUCCUUCUGCCCCUUUUCUUGAAACUAGUGGUCUUGUCUACCAUCAACACUUGAUGUUUUUUUCGAUUUCUACCUUCGUCAAUUUCCGCAUUACGAAGAGCUUGGGAAUCGUUUCCGUUAUCCCUUGCAUGUCAUAGUUCAUCACGAAGUUCUACUAACUUGGUGAUGGUGACUAGAGAAUUCUGUCAAUCACUAUCUUAUCUGGAAGAUUAACUCCCACUUGAUUCAAGCGAUUGUAGUACUCAGACAAUCUGAGCACAUGCUCACUAGUUGAGCGAUUCCCCUCCAUCUUUUAGCUAUAGAACUUGUUGGAGACUUCAUAUCUCUCAACUCUGGUAUUUGCUUGAAAUAUUAACUUCAACUCCAGGAACAUCUCAUAUGGUCCAUGACGUUCAAAACGUCUUUGAAGUCCCGAUUCUAAGCCGUUUAAGCAUGGUGCACUAAACUAUCAAGUAGUCAUCAUAUUGAGCCAGCCAAACGUUCAUAACGUCUGCAUCUGCUCCUGCAAUAGGUCUGUCACCUAGCGGUGCAUCAAGGACAUAAUUCUUCUGUGCAGCAAUGAGGAUAAACCUCAGAUCACGGAUCCAAUCCGCAUCAUUGCUACUAACAUUUUUCAACACAAUUUUUCUCUAGGAACAUAUCAAAAUAAACACAGGGAAGCAACAACGCGAGCUAUUGAUCUACAACAUAAUUUGCAAAAUACUAUCAGGACUAAGUUCAUGAUAAAUUAAAGUUCAAUUAAUCAUAUUACUUAAAGAACUCCCACUUAGAUAGACAUCCCUCUAAUCUUCUAAGUGAUUACAUGAUCCAAAUCAACUAAACCAUGACCGAUCAUCACGUGAGAUGGAGUAGUUUUCAAUGGUGAACAUCGUUUAUGUUGAUCAUAUCUACUAUAUGAUUCACGCUCGACCUUUCGGUCUCCGUGUUCCGAGGCCAUAUCUGCAUAUGCUAGGCUCGUCAAGUUUAACCUGAGUAUUCUGCGUGUGCAAAAACUGGCUUGCACCCGUUGUAGAUGGACGUAGAGCUUAUCACACCCGAUCAUCACGUGGUGUCUGGGCACGACGAACUUUGGCAACGGUGCAUACUCAGGGAGAACACUUCUUGAUAAUUUAGUGAGAGAUCAUCUUAUAAUGCUACCGUCAAUCAAAGCAAGAUAAGAUGCAUAAAAAGAUAAACAUCACAUGCAAUCAAUAUAAGUGAUAUGAUAUGGCCAUCAUCAUCUUGUGCUUGUGAUCUCCAUCUCCGAAGCACCGUCAUGAUCACCAUCGUCACCGGCGCGACACCUUGAUCUCCAUCAUAGCAUCGUUGUCGUCUUGCCAAUCUUAUGCUUUCACGACUAUCACUACCGUUUAGUAAUAAAGUAAAGCAUUACAUCGCGAUUGCAUUGCAUAAAAUAAAGCGACAACCAUAUGGCUCCUGCCAGUUGCCGAUAACUUGGUUACAAAACAUGAUCAUCUCAUACAAUAAAAUUCAGCAUCAUGCCUUGACCAUAUCACAUCACAACAUGCCCUGCAAAAACAAGUUAGACGUCCUCUACUUUGUUGUUGCAUGUUUUACGUGGCUGCUACGGGCUUAAGUAAGAACCAAUCUCACCUACGCAUCAAAACCACAACGAUAGUUUGUCAAAUAGACUCCGUUUUAACCUUCGCAAGGACCGGGCGUAGCCAUACUUGGUUCAACUAAAGUUGGAGAGACAGUCGCCCGCAAGCCAUCUCUGUGCAAAGCACGUCGAGGGAACCGGUCUCGCGUAAGCGUACGCGUAAGGUUGGUCUGGGUCGUCUCGUCCAACAAUACCGCCGAACCAAAAUAUGACAUGCUGGUAGGCAGUAUGACUUGUAUCGUCCACAACUCACUUGUGUUCUACUCGUGCAAAUAACAUCAACAUCAAUAACCUAGGCUCGGAUGCCAUUGUUGGGUUUCGUAGUAAUUUCAAAAAAAUUCCUACGCACACGCAAGAUCAUGUGAUGCAUAGCAACGAGGGGAGAGUAUUGUCUACUUACCCAACGCAGACCGACUGCGGAAGCGAUGACACGACGUAGAGGAAGUAGUCGUACGUCUUCUCGAUCCAACCGAUCAAGCACCGAAACUACGGCACCUCCGAGUUCGAGCACACGUUCAGCUCGAUGACGAUCCCCGGACUCCGAUCCAGCAAAGUGUCGGAGAAGAGUUUCGUCAGCACGACGGCGUGGUGACGAUCUUGAUGAACUACAGCAGCAGGGCUUCGCCUAAACUCCGCUACAGUAUUAUCGAGGAAUAUGGUGGCAGGGGGCACCGCACACGGCUAAGGAAUCGAUCACGUGGAUCAACUUGUGUCAACUUGUGUGUUUAGAGGUGCCCCUGCCUCCGUAUAUAAAGGAGCCAAGGGGGGAGGGGGCGCCGGCCAAGAGGGAGAGGCGCAGGAGGAGUCCUACUCCUACCAGGAGUAGGACUCCCCCCCCCCCAAUCCUAUUCCAACUAGGAUUCCCAAGGGGAAAGAGGGAGAGGGGUGGCCGGCCACCUCUCCUAGUCCUAAUAGGACUAGGGGAAGGGGGGAGGCGCGCAGUCCCCUUGGGCUGCCCCUUUCUCCUUUCCACUAAGGCCCAUGAUGGCCCAUAUGGUUCCCGGGGGGUUCCGGUAACCCUCCCGGUAUUCCGGUAAAAUCCCGAUUUCACCCGGAACACUUCCGAUAUCCAAAUAUAGGCUUCCAAUAUAUCAAUCUUUACGUCUCGACCAUUUCGAGACUCCUCGUCAUGUCUGUGAUCACAUCCGGGACUCCGAACAACCUUCGGUACAUCAAAAUGCAUAAACUCAUAAUAUAACUCUCAUCGUAACCUUAAGCGUGCGGACCCUACGGGUUCGAGAACAAUGUAGACAUGACCGAGACACGUCACCGGUCAAUAACCAAUAGCGGGACCUGGAUGCCCAUAUUGGCUCCUACAUAUUCUACGAAGAUCUUUAUCGGUCAGACCGCAUAACAACAUACGUUGUUCCCUUUGUCAUCGGUAUGUUACUUGCCCGAGAUUCGAUCGUCGGUAUCCAAUACCUAGUUCAAUCUCGUUACUGGCAAGUCUCUUUACUCGUUCCAUAAUACAUCAUCUCACAACUAACAUAUUAGUUGUAAUUCUUGCAAGGCUUAUGUGAUGUGUAUUACCGAGAGGGCCCAGAGAUACCUCUCCGACAAUCGGAGUGACAAAUCCUAAUCUCGAAAUACGCCAACCCAACAUCGACCAUUGGAGACACCUGUAGUACUCCUUUAUAAUCACCCAGUUACGUUGUGACGUUUGGUACUACCCAAAGUGUUCCUCCGGUAAACGGGAGUUGCAUAAUCUCAUAGUCAUAGGAACGUGUAUAAGUCAUGAAGAAAGCAAUAGCAACAUACUAAACGAUCAGGUGCUAAGCUAAUGGAAUGGGUCAUGUCAAUCAGAUCAUUCAACUAAUGAUGUGACCUCGUUAAUCAAAUAACAACUCAUUGUUCAUGGUCAGGAAACAUAACCAUCUUUGAUUAACGAGCUAGUCAAGUAGACGCAUACUAGUGACACUCUGUUUGUCUAUGUAUUCACACAUGUAUUAUGUUUCCAGUAAAUACAAUUCUAGCAUGAAUAAUAAACAUUUAUCAUGAUUAUCAGGAAAUAAAUAAUAACUUUAUUAUUGCCUCUAGGGCAUAUUUCCUUCAGUUGUCCCUCUAGUUGCCAUCUUCUACUAUAUGAGGUCUUUCAUCGAGAAAAAAAUCACAAGCAACCUUUCGGGACGAGACUCCGCCGCCACGAGGCGGAACCUUGGCGGAACCAAUCUAGGGCUCCGGCAGAGCUGUUCUGCCGGGGACACUUCCCUCCGGGAGGGGGAAAUCAUCGCCAUCGUCAUCACCAACGCUCCUCUCAUCGGGAGACGGAAAUCUCCAUCAACAUCUUCACCAGCACCAUCUCCUCUCAAAACCCUAGUUCAUCUCUUGUAUCCAAUUCUUGUCUCCAAGUCCGGGAUUGGUACUAGUAGGUUGCUAGUAAUGUUGAUUACUCCUUGUAGUUGAUGCUAGUUGGUUUAUUUGGUGGAAGAUCAUAUAUUCAGAUCCUUUAUGCAUAUUAAUACCCCUCUGAUUAUGAACAUGAAUAUGCUUUGUGAGUAGUUAUGUUUGUUCCUGAGUACAUGGGAGAAGUCUUGCUAUUAGUAGUCAUGUGAAUUUGGUAUUCGUUCGAUAUUUUGAUGAGAUGUAUGUUGUCUAGCCUCUAGUGGUGUUAUGUGAACGUCAACUACAUAACACUUCACCAUUAUUUGGGCCUAGAGGAAGGCAUUGGGAAGUAAUAAGUAGAUGAUGGGUUGCUAGAGUGACAGAAGCUUAAACCCUAGUUUAUGCGUUGCUUCGUAAGGGGCUGAUUUGGAUCCAUAUGUUUCAUGCUAUGGUUAGGUUUACCUUAAUACUUUUGUUGUAGUUGCGGAUGCUUGCAAUAGAGGUUAAUCAUAAGUGGGAUGCUUGUUCAAGUAAGAACAACACCCAAGCAACGGUCCACCCAUAUAUCAAAUUAUCAAAGUACCAAACGUGAAUCAUGUGAACGUGAUGAAAACUAGCUUGACGAUAUUCCCAUGUGUCCUCGGGAGCGCCUUCCUUCAUAUAAGAGUUUGUCCAGGCUUUUCCUUUGCUACAAAAAGGAUUGGGCCACCUUGCUGCACUUUAUUUACUUUUGUUACUUGUUGCUCGUUACAAAUUAUCUUAUCACAAAACUAUCUGUUACUACUUAUUUUAGUGCUUGCAGAGAAUACCUUGCUGAAAACCGCUUAUCGUUUCCUUCUGCUCCUCGUUGGGUUCGACACUCUUACUUAUCGAAAGGACUACGAUAGACCCCCUAUAUUUGUGGGUCAUCAAGACUCUUUUCUGGCGCCGUUGCCGGGGAGUGAAGUGCCUUUGGUAGGUGGAAUUUGGUAAGGAAAAAUCUAUAUAGUGUGCUGAAAUUUAUUGUCACUUGUUACUAUGGAAAGUAAUCCUCUAAGGGCCUUGUUUGGGGUAUCUUCACCCCGACCAGUAAAGCAAAGAGUUUCUCCUCAACCUACUGAACCUAUUGCAUUUGAAAAUGUUCCCUUUGAAGUUCCUUUGGGUAUGUUAGAAAAACUGCUAGCUAAUCCUUUUUUAGGAGAUGGAACAAAGCAUCCUGAUGAACACCUAAUCUUUGUGGAUGAAGUUUGUGGAUUAUUUAAGCUUGCAGGUAUACCUGAUGAUGUUGUUAAAAAGAAGGUCUUUCCUUUAUCUUUGAAGGAAGAUGCAUCGACAUGGUAUAGGCUAUGUGAUGAUACGGGAUCAUGGAACUAUAAACGAUUGAAAUUGGAAUUUCAUCAGAAAUUUUAUCCUAUGCAUCUUGUUCAUCAUGAUCGCAAUUAUAUAUAUAAUUUUUGGCCUCGCAAAGGAGAAAGCAUCGCUCAAGCUUGGGGGAGGCUUAAAUCAAUGUUAUAUUCAUGCCCCAAUCAUGAGCUCUCAAGAGAAAUAAUUCUUCAAAAAAUUUAUGCUCGGCUUUCUCAUAAUAAUCAAUCCAUGCUCGAUACUUCUUGUGCUGGCUCUUUUAUGAUGAAGACUAUUGAAUUCAAAUGGAAUUUAUUGGAUAGAAUUAAAUGCAACUCUGAAGAUUGGGAUCUCGACGAAGGUAAGGAGUCAGGUAUGACACCUAAGUUUGAUUGUGUUAAGUCUUUUAUGGAUACCGAUGUUUUCCGUAAAUUUAGCACUAAAUAUGGACUUGACUCUGAGAUAGUAGCCUCUUUCUGUGAAUCUUUUGCUACUUAUGUUGAUCUCCCCAAGGAGAAGUGGUUUAAAUAUCAUCCUACCAUAGAACUAAAAGUAGUUGCACCUACUAAAGUUGAAGAAAAGACUGUCACUUAUAAUGAUCCUAUUGUUCCUACUUCUUAUGUUGAGAAACCACCUUUCCCUGUUAGAAUAAAGGAUCAUGCUAAAGCUUCAACUAUGGUUCGUAAAAGCAAUAUUAGAACUUAUACACCUCCUGAGCAAAUUAAAGUUGAACCUAAUAUUGCUACUGUUAAAGAUCUCUUGGCUGAUAAUAUUGACGGGCAUGUUAUUCAAUUCUCCGGUGAAACCGCUAGAAUUGCCAAACCUUGUGCUCAAGAUAAACAUAGACCUGUGGUAGGCGUGCAUGUUAUUUCUGUUAAAAUAGGAGAUCAUUGUUACCAUGGCUUAUGUGAUAUGGGUGCUAGUGCUAGUGUUAUACCUAUUGCCUUAUACAACGAAAUUAAGCAUGAUAUUGCACCUGCAGAGUUAGAAGAUAUUGAUGUCACAAUUAAGCUUGCCAAUAGAGAUACUAUAUCACCAAUGGGAUUUGUUAGAGAUGUUGAAGUCUUGUGUGGGAAAACUAAAUAUCCUGCUGAUUUUCUUGUUCUUGGUUCCCCACAAGAUAGCUUUUGUCCCAUUAUUUUUGGUAGACCCUUCUUGAACACUGUUAAUGCUGAGAUAGACUGCGAAAAGAAUGUUGUUGCUAUUGGCUUGGGUGAUAUGUCUCAUGAGUUUAAUUUCUCUAAAUUUAGUAGACAACACCGUGAAGAAGAAUUGCCUAGUAAGGAUGAAAUUAUUGGCCUUGCUUCUAUUGCCGUACCUCCUAGUGAUCGUUUAGAACAAUAUUUGCUAGACCAUGAAAAUGAUAUGUUUAUGAAUGAAAGAAGGGAAAUAGAUGAAGUAUUCUUUAAACAGGAACCCAUUCUGAAGCACAAUUUGCCUGUUGAAAUCCUAGGGGAUCCUCCUCCACCCAAGGGUGAUCCCAUGUUUGAGCUUAAACCAUUGCCUGAUACUCUUAAAUAUGCUUAUCUUGAUGAAAAGAAGAUAUAUCCUGUUAUUAUUAGUGCUAACCUUUCAGAGCAUGACGAAGAGAGAUUAUUGAAAACUCUGAAGAAGCACCGCGCUGCUAUUGGAUAUACUCUUGAUGAUCUUAAGGGCAUUAGUCCCACUCUAUGUCAACAUAAAAUAAAUUUGGAAGAAGAUGCUAAACCAGUUCGUGAUCAUCAACGAAGGCUGAAUCCUAAGAUGAAAGAAGUGGUAAGAAAAGAAAUACUAAAGCUUCUGGAGGCAGGUAUAAUUUAUCCCGUUGCUGAUAGUAAGUGGGUAAGUCCUGUCCAUUGUGUCCCUAAGAAGGGAGGUAUUACUGUUGUUCCUAAUGAUAAAGAUGAAUUGAUUCCGCAAAGAAUUAUUACAGGUUAUAGGAUGGUAAUUGAUUUCUGCAAAUUAAAUAAAGCUACUAAGAAAGAUCAUUACCCCUUACCCUUUAUCGAUCAAAUGCUAGAAAGAUUAUGCAAACACACACAUAAUUGCUUUCUAGAUGGUUAUUUUGGUUUCUCUCAAAUACCCGUGUCAGCUAAUGAUCAAUCAAAGACUACCUUUACCUGACCUUUUGAUACUUUUGCUUAUAGACGUAUGCCUUUUGGUUUAUAUAAUGCACCUGCUACCUUUCAAAGAUGCAUGAUGGUUAUAUUCUCUGAUUUUUGUGAAAAGAUUUGUGAGGUUUUCAUGGAUGACUUUUCCGUCUAUGGAUCCUCUUUUGAUGAUUGCUUGAGCAACCUUGAUCGCGUUUUGUAGAGAUGUGAAGAAACUAAUCUUGUUUUGAAUUGGGAAAAGUGUCACUUUAUUGUUAAUGAAGGUAUUGUCUUGGGGCAUAAAGUUUCUGAAAGAGGUAUUGAGGUUGAUAAAGCCAAGGUUGAUGCUUGAUACGUCUCCAAUGUAUCUACUUUUCCAAACACUUUUGCCCUUGUUUUGGACUCUAACUUGUAUGAUUUGAAUGAAACUAACCCGGACUGACGCUGUUUUCAGCAGAACUGCCAUGAUGUUGUUUUAUGUGUAGAAAACAAAAGUUCUCGGAAUGUCCUGAAAAUCCACGGAGGCACUUUUCAGAAUUAAUAAGAAUUUUUGGCGAAAGAUUGAAGGCCAGGGGGGCCACGGGCUGUCCACGAGAUAGGGGGGCGCGCCCCCCCUAGGGCGCGCCCUCCUAUCUCGUGGGCCCCCUGGACACCUCCCGACCUCAACUCCAACUCCAUAUAUACCGUCUCGGGGAGAGAAAAAUCAAGGAGAAAGUUUCAUCGCGUUUUACGACACGGAGCCACCGCCAAGCCCUAAUCUCUCUCAGGAGGGCUGAUCUGGAGUCUGUUCGGGGCUCCGGAGAGGGGGAUUCGUCGCCGUCGUCAUCAUCAACCAUCCUCCAUCACCAAUUUCAUGAUGCUCACCGCCGUGCGUGAGUAAUUCCAUCAUAGGCUUGCUGGACGGUGAUGGGUUGGAUGAGAUUUACCAUGUAAUCAAGUUAGUUUUGUUAGGGUUUGAUCCCUAGUAUCCACUAUGUUCUGAGAUUGAUGUUGCUAUGACUUUGCUAUGCUUAAUGCUUGUCACUAGGGCCCGAGUACCAUAAUUUCAAAUCUGAACCUAUUAUGUUUUCAUGAAUAUAUGUGUGUUCUUGAUCCUAUCUUGCAAGUCUAUAGUCACCUAUUAUGUGUUAUGAUCCGGCAACCCCGAAGUGACAAUAAUCGGGAUACUUCUCGGUGAUGACCGUAGUUUGAGGAGUUCAUGUAUUCACUAUGUGCUAAUGCUUUGUUCCGAUUCUCUAUUAAAAGGAGGCCUUGAUAUCCCUUAUUUUCCGCUAGGACCCCGCUGCCACGGGAGGGUAGAACAAAAGAUGGCAUGCAAGUUCUUUUCCAUAAGCACGUAUGACUAUUUACGGAAUACAUGCCUACAUUACAUUGAUGAACUGGAGCUAGUUCUAUAUCACCCUAUGUUACAACUAUUGCAUGAGGAAUCGCAUCCGGCAUAAUUAUCCAUCAUUGAUCCAUUGCCUACGAGCUUUUCAUAUAUUGUUAUUCUCUUAUUUACUUUUCCGUUGCUACUGUUACAAUUACUACAAAAACCCAAAAAUAUUUAUCUUUACUUUUGCUACCGCUACUAUUAUUGUCAUACCACUUUUGCUACUAAACACUUUGCUGCAGAUACUAAGUUAUCCAGGUGUGGUUGAAUUGACAACUCAACUGCUAAUACUCAAGAAUAUUCUUUGGCUCCCCUUGUGUCGAAUCAAUAAAUUUGGGUUGAAUACUCUACCCUCGGAAGCUGUUGCGAUCCCCUAUACUUGUGGGUUAUCAAGACUAAUUUCUGGCGCCGUUGCCGGGGAGCAUAGCUCUAUUCUCUGAGUCACUUGGGAUUUAUAUCUGUUGAUCACUAUGAAGAACUUGAAAGACGAUCGAACUACUAUUUUGCCCUCAACUACGAGGGGAGGUAAGGAACUGCCAUUUAGCUCUGCACUAGAUUCUCCUUCCGCUAUAAGUAAGCUUGCGACACCUAAACCUUCUACUGCUAUAAAUUCUGAUAUGUCGCAUGUUAUUGAUGAUGCCACUUCUGCUAUGAAUGAUGGAACUACUUCUUUGUGUGAUACUACUGUGCCACUAGGUGAAUUUCUAGUUGAACAACUUGCUAGAUUUAGGGGGAAUGAAAAUAUUGAAGAACCUAUUAUUGAUGACAGUGAUGAUGAAGGUACCCCCAAUGAUUAUGUUUUACCUGUUGUUCCUAAGGGUUAUGUUAUGCAUGAAACAGCUGCUAUGGAAAUUCUUGCUUGCAAUGAUAGAAAUGAUCUUAAGAAAUUAUUAGCUAAAUGGAAGCAGCAGUCUCUUAAUGCUAGAAUGAAACCCGAUCUUGCUUUUGCUACUUCACCUAUCUGUGUUACUGAUAAGGAUUAUGAAUUCUCUGUUGAUCCUGAUAUUAUUACUUUAGUUGAAUCUGAUCCUUUUUAUGGCCUUGAAUCUGAAACUGUUGUGGCACAUCUUACCAAGUUAAAUGAUAUAGCUACCAUGUUUACUAAUGAUGAGAAGUCUUGCUAUUUAUAUAUCCUUAAGAUAUUUCCGUUCUCAUUAAAGGGUGAUGCUAAGACUUGGUAUAAUUCUCUUGCUCCUGGUUGUGUGCGUAGUCCCCAGGAUAUGAUUUAUUACUUCUCUGCUAAAUGUUUCCCUGCUCAUAAGAAACAAGCUGCCUUGCGGGAAAUAUAUAAUUUUGUGGAAAUCAAAGAAGAGAGUCUCCCACAAGCUUGGGGGAGGCUUCUCCGGUUACUUAAUGCUUUGCCUGAUCACCCUCUUAAGAAAAAUGAAAUACUUGAUAUCCUUUAUAAUGGACUAACCGAUGCUUCCAAGGACUACUUGGAUAGUUGUGUUGGUUGUGUUUUCAGGGAAAGAACAGUCGACGAAGCUGAAAUACUAUUGAAUAACAUGUUGACUAAUGAAAAUAAUUGGACUCUUCCUGAGCCAAUUCCUGAAGUAAUUCCUAAACCAAUUGAGCCAACUCCUGAGCCUAUUCCUAAACCCACUCCGAAGAAGAGAGGUGUUUUAUUUCUCAGUCCUGAAGAUAUGCAAGAGGCAAUGAAAUCAAUGAAAGAAAAGGGUAUUAAAGCUAAAGAUGUUAAGAAUUUACCUCCUAUUGAAGAGAUACAUGGUCUUAAUUUACCGCCUGAAAAACCACAUUGUCUUGAUAACCCGACACAGGUAGUAAAGGUAAAUUCUCUUUAUAGAUAUGAUAAAGUUGAAAUACCCUCUACUAAAUUUCAUAGCCCAUGCUUAGAUGAGUUUGAUGACUUUAUGGCUAGACAAGAAAGUUAUAAUGCUUAUGUUGGUAGAGAGUUAAAGAAUAAUGCUUUCGAGAUAGGACACAUAGGUGAUAAUCUGGCUAGAGUUAAAGAUGAACUUCACCGCGUUAGCAAAUAUGCUUAUAUGGUUGCUACUCAAGCUGAGCAAGUACUUAAAGCUCAAAAUGAUUUGCUUGAGGAAUUAAAUAAUAAAAAUGACUUUGCUAUUAGAGUGGCUACUAGAACUGGUAGAAUGACUCAGGAACCUUUGUAUCUUGAAGGCUACCCUAAGAGAAUCGAGCAAGAUUCUCAGACAAAUAAUUUAGAGGCACCUAGUUCUUAUAAAAAGAAGAAAAACAAAAAUGAUAGAACUUUGCAUGCUUCUAGUGAACCUACUAAAGACACGCCUGAGAAUCCCAAUGAUAUUUAUAUUUUAGAUGCUGAAACACAAUCAGGUGAUGAACAUGAACCUAGUAAUAAUGUUAAUGAUAAUGUAAAUGUUGACGCUCAACCUAGAAAAAAUAAUGAUGUAGAGAUUGAACCUGCUGUUGAUCUUGAUAACCCACAAUCAAAGAAUCAACGUUAUGAUAAGACAGAUUUUGUUGCUAGGAAGCACGGUAAAGAAAGAGAACCAUGGGUUCAGAAACCCAUGCCCUUUCCUCCUAAACCAUCCAAGUCAAAGGAUGAUGAGGAUUUUGAGCGCUUUGCUGAAAUGAUUAGACCUAUUUUCUUACGCAUGCGCUUAACUGAUAUGCUUAAAGUAAAUCCUUAUGCUAAAUAUAUGAAGGAUAUCAUUACAAACAAAAGAAAGAUACCGGAAGCUGAAAUUUCCACCAUCCUUGCUAAUUCCACUUUUAAGGGUGGAAUACCAAAGAAACUUGGAGAUCCGGGUGUUCCAACUAUACCAUGCUCUAUUAAAAGAAAUUAUGUUAGAACUGCUUUAUGUGAUCUUGGAGCCGGUGUUAGUGUUAUGCCUCUCUCUUUAUAUCGUAGACUUGAAUUGAAUAAGUUGACACCUACUAAAAUAUCUUUGCAAAUGGAUGAUAAAUCAACUGCUAUACAUGUCGGUAUUUGUGAGGAUGUGCCUGUUGUGGUUGCAAAUGUCACUAUUUUAACGGACUUUGUUAUUCUUGAUAUUCCUGAGGACGAUAGUAUGUCUAUUAUCCUUGGUAGACCUUUUCUUAAUACUGCAGGGGCUUUUAUUGAUUGCAACAAAGGCAAUGUCACUUUUCAUGUUAAUGGUAAUGAGCAUACGGUACACUUUCCGAGGAAACAAUCUCAAGUUCAUAGCAUCAAUUCUAUUGAAAAAGUUCCAACUAUUAUUUUUGGAGGUUUUGAAUUUCCUCUCCCUACUGUCAAGAAAAAGUAUGAUAUUCUUAUUGUUGGGGAUUUUCAUAUCCCCGUUGAGGUAACUUAGUGUUAUUCGAAAUUUCUCCGGUUCCGUGUUAUUCGGAAUGAGCUUGUUAACAAGACUUGAUCAACCUUGUUAGUGGAUUCAUUUUGAUGAUCACGAGAUGGAUGAAACUAGAAGGCGCAACCUUCUGUAACAUCUUUUUACUUUCUGUUAUUUAGAAUAAAUAAAGCAAAAAUAGUAUUAUCCGUCUAUUUUCUAAAUUAUCCGUGCAUUAAAAAAUAGUCCGAAAAUAAAAGUGCUCCAAAUGCCCUGCAAAUUUAGUAUGAUUUUUUCUGGAAUAUUUGAGGAUUUUAAGCACUGAAAACACUGCAGGAGGGCCAAGCACCAGGCCACGAGAGAGGAGGGCGCCCCCCUAUAGGGCGCGCCCCCUGUCUCGUGGGCCCCUGGUGGGUCCCCUCCACUUAUGCCAGCACCCACACACUUCAUCUUCUACCCAAAAAAAAUCCCCAUCCAGCUCAAGCCCGAGUUCUAGCUCGUUUUGCUGCGAUUUUCGAUCUCUUAGCUCAAAGCUCCAUUCGCAAAACUGCUUUGGGAGAUUGUUGCUUGGUAUGUGACUCCUCCAUUGGUCCAAAUAGUUUUUGUUCUAGUGCUUUAUUCAUUGCAAAUUUUUGCUGCAUAGGUGACCAUGUUCUUGAGCUUGCAUGUUAAAUUUUUUAGGUCCCAAGCAAUUCCAAUGCAUGAUAUAGGAUCUAGGCACUUGUAGGAGUAGUUGCUAUCAAUCUUAUUUAGUUUUAUUCACUUUUAUUUUGAAGUUACUAAAAUUUCAGAAAUUUUCAGAAAAUGUUAAGGAGGUUCUUUAAAGGCUCUUCUAGCCAAAGCUCUAAGGAAAAACAAGACAAAGAGAAGGAAAAACCCAAGUAUAAUCUUCCUCGCUUAGCGGAAGUACGGUCAUGUGAAUAGCCAUGUGAGGAUUUCUUGAAAGAAGCCGGAAUUCAUGAAGACUUUUAUGCUUUAAUCGGGACUACAGUCCUCACCGAUUUCAUGAAUGACCGAAUCAAUCAGUAUCUCUUACUUACCAAUACUUUCGUGCAAAAUUUUUAUUAUUAUCCUAAGAAGUCACCGCCUGCAGUAUCAUUUCAUUUAUAUGAUGAAUUCAGAGAAAUGUCUUUACGUGAUUUUUGUGUGGUGUGUAGGAUACCUUAUGAGGGAGAAUUAGAGGAACCCCAUCGUGAAGAUGUGGAUGGUUUCGCUAAAACUAUUGCUGUAGAAGAGCCAAAGAAGGGCUCUGAGGCAAAAGUCUCUAGCAUACACUUUCCUGUUUUACGCUACUUUGCCAUAUUUGCUAGUAGAUGCUUGAUUGGUCGUGGGAAUAGUGGAAACUUGAGCGUUCUAGAUAUUAUUAUUCUUUAACAUGCUUUGCUGGGAGACAAUACUUUUAGUAUGGGUGCCGUCGUUGCUAAACGGCUAGCCCUGAAUCGUACAAAAGGCCCCAUAUUUGGAGGUAUCUAUGCUGCACAUCUUGCUGAACAUUUUCAGAUACCCAUUAGGCACCUUGAGGAGGAGGAGACAAAAUUACCUCCUCACAUUUUAGAUUACAAGAGCAUGGUAGCACACAAGUUUAUUGUUGACAACGAAGAAAAGAUGCUCUUGUAUAGACUUAGAUUCAAUGAGAAACACUUUGAGCUUAUUAUUUUGCCUGCACCUCUGUUAUUUGACUUGCUUGCAGAAAAUCGCCUUGUUACGCCGGAAGCGGUGAACAACCAUCUAGCCCAAGCUUUUACUCCAGAACCUGAACCUGAGCCGGAACCUGAGCUGGACCCUUAUCGUGCAUCAUCUGUCCAGUGGGAUCCGGAGAUGACCAGCCAGUGGUAUCCUGAUUACAUCUCCCACUACACCGGGGAGAGUAGCGGCAGUCCAUGGUAUUAGACCAACUUAGGCCAAAAGCCUAAGCUUGGGGGAGUACGUAUUUCUCACCGACUUUACAUUCAUGUUCACACACUAGUCGUCGGUGCUCACACUCUUUCAUUGUAUUAUCCAUGCUAGUUUAAAUUUCUUUUUCUAGUUUUCUUCUUGUGAGUUUGAUAAACCUGUAGAAAAAACCAAAAAAAAUUAGUUAGUUUAAUUUCCUUGCCUGUAGUAGAAAGUAAAAUGAAAACCCAAAAAUAUUUCUCGUUCUUCUUUUACUUGUUGGGAGCUUUCCCGUGUAAAUAGUUUUUUUUUAUUUUCUUUCUUUUGGGGGUCGAGAAGACUAUAUUGAAAUUGCUUAGUGGCUCUUAUAUGCAUGAUUGUUUAUUUAAUUUAGAGCCCAUAUUACUUGUCUUCUCUCUUGAGUUGAAUGCUUGCAGAUUCCGGCUUAGUCCAAUGCAUGUGCACUCUUAUUAUUAUACACAUCGUUCGGUCAUGCAAGUGAAAGGCAAUAAUGAUGAUAUAUGAUGGACUUAUUAGGAUGAGAAAAGCUGGUAUGAACUCGACCCCUUUUGUUUUUGUAAAUAUGAUGAUUCAUCGUUCCUGGAUCAGCUAUUAUGAAGUAAACAUAUUCGCAAUGACAUUUAGAGAUUAUAGUUGCUUGUGCCAUGCUUGAUUAGCUAUGAGUUAUAAUUGUUUACCUUGCGUGCCAACAUGCUAUUAGAAUGAUUAUGAUGUGGUAUGAUGGGAUGGUAUCCUCCUUUGAAUGUAUUAAGUGACUAGACUUGGCACAUAUUCACGCAUGUAGUUGAAUCAAAUCAACAUAGCCUUCAUGAUAUUUAUGUUCAUGGUAGAUUAUGUCCUACUCAUGCUUGUACUCGGUGGAAAUUAAUUUUAAUGCAUGUUUACGACUGUUGUCGCUCUCUCGGUUGGUCGCUUCCCAGUCUUUUGCUAGCCUUCACCUGUACUAAGCGGGAAUACUGCUUGUGCAUCCAAACUCCUUAAACCCCAAAGUUGUUCCAUAUGAGUCCACUAUACCUUCCUAUAUGCGGUAUUUACCUGCCGUUCCAAGUAAAUUUGUACGUGCCAAACUCUAAACCUUCAAAUGAAAUUCUGUUUUGUAUGCUCUAGCAGCUCAUGUUUCAGCUAGGGCUGCCUAUAUCUUCCAUGCUAGGUGGGUUAUUCUCAUGAGGAGUGGACUCCGCUCCUCAUUCACGAGAAAGGGCCGGUAACCGGGAUGCCUAGUCCCAUGAUCCAAAAAGAUCAAAGCAAAUCAAAAUAAUUAAACAAAACUCCCCCCCAGGGCUGUUGUAUGUUGGAGGCACUUGUUGUUUCGAGCAAGCCAUGGAUUGAUGCUUGUUGGUGGUUGGGGGAGUAUAAACCUUUACCAUUCUGUUUGGGAACUGCCUAUAAUGCAUGUAGUAUGGAAGAUACAGCCAUCUCAUAGUUGUUGUGUUGACAGUGAAAGUAUGCCGCUCAAAAUGUUAUUCAAUCUCUAUUUUUAAAAUCGUGCUCUGGCACCUCUACAAAUCCCUGCUUUCCUCUGCGAAGGGCCUAUCUAUUUACUUUUAUGUUGAGUCGUCACCCUUCUUAUUAAAAAGCACCCGCUGGAGAGCACAUUGUCAUUUGCAUUCAUUAUUAUUGGUUUAUAUUGGGUAUGACUUGACUGGAUCUCUUUUACCAUGAAUUACAAUUUUAGUCAGUCCUUGAUCUUUAAAAGUGCUCUGCAUUUAUGUUUUGCGGUCUCAGAAAGGGCUAGCGUGAUACCAUUUUGUUAUAUCAUGUUAUGAUUAUUUUGAGAAAGUGUUGUCAUCUGAGUUUUAUUAUUAUAGCUCGCUAGCUGAUUAUGUUAUUGAUAUAAGUAAUUGUGAGACCUAUGUGUUAUUGUGAGUCUGGUUAGUUCAUAAUAUUUGCUGAAACUUGAAUGCUGGCUUUUCAUGUUACAACAACAAGAGUUUGUAAAAGUUUUUCUUUAUCACUUUCAGUUUAUCAACUGAAUUGCUUGAGGACAAGCAAAUGUUUAAGCUUGGGGGAGUUGAUACGUCUCCAACGUAUCUACUUUUCCAAACACUUUUGCCCUUGUUUUGGACUCUAACUUGUAUGAUUUGAAUGAAACUAACCCGGACUGACGCUGUUUUCAGCAGAACUGCCAUGAUGUUGUUUUAUGUGUAGAACAGAAAAGUUCUCAGAAUGUCCUGGAAAUCCAUGGAGGCACUUUUCAGAAUUAAUAAGAAUUUUUGGCGAAAGAAUGAAGGCCAAGGGCCCACGAGCUGUCCACGAGACAGGCCCCCCCCCAGGGCGCGCCCUCCUAUCUCGUGGGCCCCCUGGACACCUCCCGACCUCAACUCCAACUCCAUAUAUACCGUCUCGGGGAGAAAAAAAUCAAGGAGAAAGUUUCAUCGCGUUUUACGACACGGAGCCGCCGCCAAGCCCUAAUUUCUCUCGGGAGGGCUGAUCUGGAGUCCGUUCUUGGCUUCGGAGAGGGGGAUUCGUCGCCGUCGUCAUCAUCAACCAUCCUCCAUCACCAAUUUCAUGAUGCUCACCGCCGUGUGUGAGUAAUUCCAUCGUAGGCUUGCUGGACGGUGAUGGGUUGGAUGAGAUUUACCAUGUAAUCAAGUUAGUUUUGUUAGGGUUUGAUCCCUAGUAUCCACUAUGUUCUGAGAUUGAUGUUGCUAUGAAUUUUCUAUGCUUAAUGCUUGUCAGGGCCCAUGUGCCAUGAUUUCAGAUCUGAACCUAUUAUGUUUUCAUGAAUAUAUGUGUGUUCUUGAUCCUAUCUUGCAAGUCUAUAGUCACCUAUUAUGUGUUAUGAUCCGACAACCCCGAAGUGACAAUAAUCGGGAUACUUCUCGGUGAUGACCGUAGUUUGAGGAGUUCAUGUAUUCACUAUGUGCUAAUGCUUUGUUCCGGUUCUCUAUUAAAAGGAGGCCUUAAUAUCCCUUAGUUUCCGCUAGGACCCCGCUGCCACGGGAGGGUAGGACAAAAGAUGUCAUGCAAGUUCUUUUCCAUAAGCACGUAUGACUAUUUACGGAAUACAUGCCUACAUUACAUUGAUGAACUGGAGCUAGUUCUAUAUCACCCUAUGUUAUAACUAUUGCAUGAGGAAUCGCAUCCGGCAUAAUUAUCCAUCAUUGAUCCAUUGCCUAUGAGCUUUUCAUAUAUUGUUCUUCACUUAUUUACUUUUUCGUUGGUACUGUUACAAUUACUACAAAAACCCAAAAAUAUUUAUCUUUACUUUUGCUACCGCUACUAUUAUUGUCAUACCACUUUUGCUAGUAAACACUUUGCUGCAGAUACUAAGUUAUCAAGGUGUGGUUGAAUUGACAACUCAACUGCUAAUACUCAAGAAUAUUCUUUGGCUCCCCUUGUGUCGAAUCAAUAAAUUUAGGUUGAAUACUCUACCCUCGAAAGCUGUUGCGAUCCCCUAUACUUGUGGGUUAUCAAUGCUAUUGGAAAGAUGCCAUGUCCCAAGGACACCAAAGUUAUAAGAAGUUUCCUUGGCAAUGCCGGAUUUUAUAGGAGGUUCAUUAAGGACUUCUCAAAAAUUCCUCGGCCUCUGACUAAUUUAUUACAAAAAGAUAUACCAUUUGUCUUUGAUGAUGAUUGUGUAGAAGCAUUUGAAAUACUUAAGAAAGCAUUGAUCUCUGCACCUAUUGUUCAGCCACCUGAUUGGAAUUUACCCUUCGAAAUUAUGUGUGAUGCUAGAGAUUAUGUCGUAGGUGCUGUUCUAGGGCAAAGAGUUGAUAAGAAAUUAAAUGUUAUUCAAUAUGCUAGUAAAACUCUAGACAAUGCUCAGAGAAAUUAUACUACUACUGAAAAACAAUUCUUAGCAGUUGUAUUUGCUUGUGAUAAGUUCAGACCUUAUAUUGUUGAUUCUAAAGUAACUAUUCACACGGAUCAUGCUGCUAUUAAAUAUCUUAUGGAAAAGAAAGAUGCUAAACCUAGACUCAUUAGAUGGGUUCUCUUGCUACACGAAUUUGAUUUACAUAUUGUUGAUAGAAAGGGAGCUGAGAACCCCGUUGCAGACAACUUGUCUAGGUUAGAAAAUGUUCUUGAUGACCCACUAUCUAUUAAUGAUAGCUUUACCGAUGAGCAAUUAAAUGUUAUAAAUGCCUCUCGUAGUACUCCGUGGUAUGCUGAUUAUGCUAAUUACAUUGUUGCUAAAUUUAUACCACCUAGUUUCACAUACCAGCAAAAGAAAAAGUUUUUCUAUGAUUUGAGGCAUUACUUUUGGGAUGACCCACAUCUUUAUAAAGAAGGAGUAGAUGGUGUUAUUAGACGUUGUGUACCUGAGCAUGAACAGGAACAGAUCCUACGCAAGUGUCACUCCGAGGCUUAUGGAGGGCACCACGCUGGAGAUAGAACUGCACAUAAGGUAUUGCAAUCCGGUUUUUAUUGGCCUACUCUCUUUAAGGAUGCCCGUAAGUUUGUCUUAUCUUGUGAUGAAUGCCAAAGAAUUGGUAAUAUUAGUAGACGUCAAGAAAUGCCUAUGAAUUAUUCACUUGUUAUUGAACCAUUUGAUGUUUGGGGCUUUGAUUAUAUGGGACCUUUCCCUGCCUCUAAUGGAUAUACACAUAUUUUAGUUGCUGUUGAUUACGUUACUAAGUGGGUAGAAGCUAUUCCAACUAGUUGUGCUGAUCAUAACACUUCUAUUAAGAUGCUUAAAGAAGUUAUUUUUCCGAGGUUUGGAGUCCCUAGAUAUUUAAUGACUGAUGGUGGUUCACAUUUUAUCCAUGGUGCUUUCCGUAAAAUGCUUGCUAAGUAUGAUGUUAACCAUAGAAUUGCAUCUCCUUAUCACCCACAGUCUAGUGGUCAAAUAGAAUUGAGUAAUAGAGAGCUCAAAUUAAUUUUGCAAAAGACUGUUAAUAGAUCUAGAAAAAUUGGUCCAAGAAACUUGAUGAUGCAUUAUGGGCCUAUAGAACUGCAUAUAAAUAUCCUAUGGUAUGUCUCCAUAUAAAAUGGUUUAUGGAAAAGCAUGUCACUUACCUCUCGAACUAGAACAUAAGGCAUAUUGGGCUAUUAAAGAGCUCAACUAUGAUUUCAAACUUGCUGGUGAGAAGAGGCUAUUUGAUAUUAUCUCACAUGAUGAAUGGAGAACUCAAGCUUAUGAAAAUGCCAAGUUGUUUAAAGAAAAAGUUAAAAGAUGGCAUGACAAAAGGAUACAAAAGCGGGAGUUUAAUGUAGGCGAUUAUGUAUUGCUAUACAACUCUCGUUUAAGAUUUUUUGCAGGAAAACUUCUCUCUAAAUGGGAAGGUCCCUACGUUACCGAGGGGGUAUAUUGUUCUGGUGCCAUAAAAAUCAACAACUUCGAAGGUACAAAUCCGAAGGUGGUGAAUGGUCAAAGAAUCAAACAUUAUAUCUCGGGCAAUCCCAUAAAUGUUGAAACCAAUUUUAUAGAAACCAUAACCCCGGAGGAAUACAUAAGGGACACUUUCCGGAAUGUUUCAGACUCCGAAAAGGAAUAGGUAUGUGGUACGGUAAGUAAACCGACUCCAAAACAGUUUUUAAGGCAAUAUUUCUCCGUUUUGGAAUAUUUAGAAAAAUAGAAAAAUAAGAAGCAGUUUGGGAAGGACACGAGGGCUCCACGAGGGUGGAGGGCACGCCCUACCCCCUGGGCGCGCCCCCCUACCUCAUGGGCACCUUGUGUGCUCUCCGGACUCCGUUUUCUUGCACGAUACGUAUUUUGGUUGGUAAAAAUUCAUUAGAUAACCUCUCGAAGGUUUUGACUCCCAUAUCACGCAAUUACCCUCUAUUCUUAUUUCGAGCUAUUUUCUGUCAGGGUUGUCAAGGCCAGGCAUCAUGUCGUCCCCCUCCUCUAACAAUGGUGAUAAUGAUGCUUGGCUAAUGAAGAUAGCAGGGGCGGACGCACGUUGAGUGCUGUGGGGGCAACUGCCCCCACUCAAUUUUUCAUGUACGCUAUAUGGAUCCUCUGCCUAGCUUCGUGUGCCCCCGCUUGGCCCAUUAUGUUGCCCCCACUCAGCCCACUUUGUUGUUUUUUUGCAAAGCCCAUCGUACUAUAAAUCUGUAGGAGCAGCCCACAUCCUAGAAAGAACAACCUACGAUUGCAAAACUCGAUUUACCUUAAAGAAAACAAUCGCAAAACUCGACUUGAUCGAACCCUUUAGCCCUACUUCACGCACGGGACGCAGACAUCCACGUUCUCCAAAAAAAUGAAUCCAAGACGCAGGAAUCGUGCAACCGGCGGCUCGCCGCCAGCAAUCAACAUCAGCGACUUGCCUUUCUGGCCCUCGUGGCCUUGCAAGACGAUGCUGCAGCACAGCCCGAUCACCAGUUCUACAAUUUUUUCUCUCAAUCUAAUUGGCAUCGAGGUAAGCGGUAUGGGUCAUCUAGGGUUUUCUUGUUUUAAUUUUUUGUUCGCUUGCAAUUUUUAUAUAUGUUAAAAAUCAUGUUAGUCUGAUCAAUUUGUGUGUAUAGAGAUUUUCCGAUUUAAGUGACUAGAUCUAUCCAAACAAUUUUUGUAUAACCUGCAAAUUUUAAUGUGCUACUUUUUACUUACAAGUAAAAUUGUCUAGUCUGAAUCGAUACGCUCAAAUUUGAUUUGGAUCAUGUGUUAUACCUAGUUCCUAGAACACUUCAUCUUCAGGUAUGAUGUUUGGCAAUUCGAGGAUUCAUUUAAAGUUUUAGUUGAUGGCACUUAAAUGUGCAGGAAAGCUAAUGGUGAGGUUUUUUCAAGAAUUAACAACCUUGAUGCUUGAUUCGAACAAACUUCCCGGGGUCCAUCCAAAAGCAAGAGGAUUGCAGAUUUGAUAGUCUAUAGACUUAUAAAGCUAUCACUUCUCAGCUAUGAAGAUUCUGGAGAAUGCUCUACGUAAGGAAAUUAAUGAUAUUUUAUAAACCAUAACUAUGUCAGCUUUGUAGAAAAUGAAUUGUUGAACAAAAUUUAUAAUUUAGUGUAAGUCAAAUGUUUUCAUGAGGUGAAGAUCACCGUGGGACAGAAGGAAAUUAGUGUGCUAAAGCUCUUUUCUUUUUUAAUACCGAUAUCCUUCAACGUUUUAAUUCUAUCCUCAUUUGAUUUUUCUCUCCCUUGCAGGUUAUAGGUUAUGUUGUUAGAAAAAUGUGUCAAUGUCCCCUAUAGCAACUUCGGAAUAAGGUACUGACAUAUUGAUGCAAGUCAUUUUGCUUCGCAUCAUUACUUUUCUUUCACUUUACAAUGAGCUUGGUUAUCGUGUGGAGAAUGAACUAGUUAUAUUGUGCCCAUAUUUUAGUUUAUAUGGGUGUUUGUCUUGUUGAUUCACGAAUAUGGCCAUGAAUUAUUGCCCCCUCUCAAGUUUUUUUACUGGGUCCGCCCCUGGAAGAUAGAGCUGAAGAGGGAAGAACCCAUGGAGAUCAACAAAGAUGAAGGGAUCAAGAAGGCAAUGGAGGAUCAAGCUCCGGCAGCAGAAGACAUCCUUCAACUUGAUCGUAAUCUUCUUACCCCAACAGAGAUUGAAGCUUUCAAGAUGAUUGAGUUAGCUCGUAUACAGAACAAGUAUCUCACACGUGAAAAUAUUUUGUUGAAGGAGCAUACCAUUGCACUCAAGGGCAUUAUCCGCAAGCUGGAGGACCUCCUACGCUCGAUGUGCGACUAUCCUUCAUCACCACCAUCCUCUUCACCAGCAAAGGAGACAUAAUCACAUGGGUAUGGGCACUCCCCUUGGCAACUGCCAAGCUUGGGGGAGGUGCCCCGGUAUUGUAUCACCAUCACACUCCUAUCUUUACCGUUUUUCUUAGUUCGAUCCUAUUAGUAGUAUCUUGAUCUAGUAGAAUAAAGUUUUGGUAUGAUCUAGUUUUGAGUUUUGCUUUAUGAUCUCUCUUUGUAAUCGAGUCCGUGAGCUAUAUAAUAAAGAUUAGUGUUGAGUAAAGGGCUUGAUUAUUUUGCCAUGAUCUUGAGUGAAUAAAAGAAAAGAGAAAAAGAAUAAAAAGAGAUAAAGAGUUCAUAUUGAUCUUAUCGAGAGUAAUGACUUCACAUAGAAAGAGUAUGAUGAUUAAAAGUUGUUGGGAGUUGGCAAACAUAGCUUUGGUCAUCCUUGCAAUUAAUAGGAAGUAAUUAGGAAAGAGAGGUUUCACAUAUAAAUAUAUUAUCAUUGACAUAUUUUAUGAUUGGGAGCACUCAUUAAAAUAUGACAUGCUAAAGAGUUGACGUUGGACAAAGAAGACAACGUAAUGGGUUAUGUUUUCUUAUAUCUGAGAUAAAGUAUAUUAUCAUGGAUCAUCCAACAUGUUGAGCUUGCCUUUCCCCCUCAUGCUAGCCAAAUUCUUAAUUAGCACUAAGUAGAGAUACUACUUGUGCUUCCAAAAACCCUUAAACCAGUUUUGCCAUGAGAGUCCACCAUACCUACCUAUGGAUUGAGUAAGAUCCUUCAAGUAAGUUGUCAUCGGUGCAAGCAAUAAAAAUUGCUCUCUAAAUAUGUAUGACUUAUUAGUGUGGGAGAAAAUAAGCUUUAUACGAUCUUGUGAUGUGGAAGAAAUAAAAGCGACAGACUGCAUAAUAAAGGUUCAUAUCACAAGGGGCAAUAUAAAGUGACGUUCUUUCACAUUAAGAUUUUGUGCAUCCAACCAUAAAAGCGCAUGGCAACCUCUGCUUCCCUCUGCGAAGGGCCUAUCUUUUAUUAUUAUCUUCUACCUUAUGCAAGAGUCAUGGUGAUCUUCACCUUUCCUUUUUACAUUUUAUCCUUUGGCAAGCACAGGGUGUUGGAAAGAUCCUGAUAGAUAUAUCUAAUUGGAUGUAGGGCAGCAUGAGUUAUUAUUGUUGACAUUACCCUUGAGGUAAAAGGUUGGGAGGCGAAACUAUAAGCCCCUGUCUUUCUCUGUGUCCGACUAAAACUCCGUAACCACAAGUAUUGCGUGAGUGUUAGCAAUUAUGAAAGACUAAAUGAUAGUUGAGUAUGUGGACUUGCUAGAAAGCUCUGACAUAGACUCUUUUUGAUGUUAUGAUAAAUUGCAAUUGCUUCAAUGACUGAGAUUAUAGUUUGUUGGUUCUCAAUAAAGUUUAUGAUUCGUACUUUGGCAUUGUGAAUAGAUUAUUACUUGAGCAUAAGAAAUCAUAUGACAAUAUCCAUAUAUGCUGCUGUUAUGAGAAUAAUCAUGAUGGCCUCAUGUCCAUAUUUUAUUUUAUCGACACCUCUACCUCUAAACAUGUGGACAUAUUUAUCGUUAUCGGCUUCCGCUUGAGGACAAGCGAGGUCUAAGCUUGGGGGAGUUGAUACGUCCAUUUUGCAUCAUGCUUUUAUAUUGAUAUUUAUUGCAUUAUGGGCUGUUAUUACUCGUUAUGUCACAAUACUUAUGCCUAUUCUCUCUUAUUUUACAAGGUUUACAUAAGGAGGGAGAAUGCCGGCAGCUGGAAUUCUGGGCUGGAAAAGGAGCAAAUAUUAGAGACCUAUUCUGCACAACUCCAAAAGUCCUGAAACUCCAUGAAAGUCAUUUUUGGAAAUAAUAAAAAAUAUUGAGCGGAAGAAGUACAUCAGAGGGGGGCCCACCUGGCCACGAGGGUGGGGGCGUGCCCCCUGACUCGUGGACCCCCUGUUGGCCCUCCCGUGGCCAUCUUCUGCUAUAUGAGGUCUUUCGUCGAGGAAAAAAUCAUAAGCAACCUUUCGGGAUGAGACUCCGCCGCCACGAGGCGGAACCUUGGCGGAACCAAUCUAGGGCUUCGGCAGAGCUGUUCUGCCGGGGACACUUCCCUCCGGGAGGGGGAAAUCAUCGCCAUCGUCAUCACCAACGCUCCUCUCGUCGGGAGAGGGCAAUCUCCAUCAACAUCUUCACCAGCACCAUCUCCUCUCAAAACCCUAGUUCAUCUCUUGUAUACAAUUCUUCUCUCCAAGUCUGGGAUUGGUACUAGUAGGUUGCUAGUAGUGUUAAUUACUCCUUGUAGUUGAUGCUAGUUGGUUUAUUUGGUGGAAGAUCAUAUGUUCAGAUCCUUUAUGCAUAUUAAUACCCCUCUAAUUAUGAACAUGAAUAUGCUUUGUGAGUAGUUACGUUUGUUCCUGAGGACAUGGGAGAAGUCUUGCUAUAUAUUAGUAGUCAUGUGAAUUUGGUAUUCGUUCGAUAUUUUGAUGAGAUGUAUGUUGUCUAGCCUCUAGUGGUGUUAUGUGAACGUCGACUACAUAACACUUCACCAUUAUUUGGGCCUAGAGGAAGGCAUUGGGAAGUAAAAGUAGAUGAUGGGUUGCUAGAUUGACAGAAGCUUAAACCCUAGUUUAUGCGUUGCUUCGUAAGGGGCUGAUUUGGAUUCAUAUGUUUCAUGCUAUGGUUAGGUUUACCUUAAUACUUUUGUUGUAGUUGAGGAUACUUGCAAUAGAGGUUAAUCAUAAGUGGGAUGCUUGUUCAAGUAAGAACAGCACCCAAGCACCGGUCCACCCACAUAUCAAAUUAUCAAAGUACCGAAUGUGAAUCAUGUGAACGUGAUGAAAACUAGCUUGACGAUAUUCCCAUGUGUCCUCGGGAGCGCCUUCCUUCAUAUAAGAGUUUGUCCAGGCUUGUCAUUUGCUACAAAAAGGAUUGGGCCACCUUGCUGCACUUUAUUUACUUUUGUUACUUGUUGCUCGUUACAAAUUAUCUUAUCACAAAACUAUCUGUUACUACUUAUUUCAGUGCUUGCGGAGAAUACCUUGCUGAAAACCGCUUAUCAUUUCCUUCUGCUCCUCGUUGGGUUCGACACUCUUACUUAUCGAAAGGACUACGAUUGAUCCCCUAUACUUGUGGGUCAUCACCUCACCUAGGCUUCGGCCCACCCGACCAGCCGACCCAGCUAGGCCGGCCCGCUCCCCCUCCCNNNNNNNNNNNNNNNNNNNNNNNNNNNNNNNNNNNNNNNNNNNNNNNNNNNNNNNNNNNNNNNNNNNNNNNNNNNNNNNNNNNNNNNNNNNNNNNNNNNNNNNNNNNNNNNNNNNNNNNNNNNNNNNNNNNNNNNNNNNNNNNNNNNNNNNNNNNNNNNNNNNNNNNNNNNNNNNNNNNNNNNNNNNNNNNNNNNNNNNNNNNNNNNNNNNNNNNNNNNNNNNNNNNNNNNNNNNNNNNNNNNNNNNNNNNNNNNNNNNNNNNNNNNNNNNNNNNNNNNNNNNNNNNNNNNNNNNNNNNNNNNNNNNNNNNNNNNNNNNNNGGCGAGGGGAUAAGGGCAGCCCCGACGCCUCGGGCUCCCUACCCACUCGCCCACUUGCCCCCUCUCUCCCUCGCUCUCCAGAUCCCCUCCCCUCCUCAACCGAGCCCAUCGCCGCCGCGUCUUUGUCAUCUCUGCGGCCACCGUGCCUUCGACGCGGCCUGGCUGUGCUCGUCAGCAUCGCCGUGGACUCCCGCAUCUUUUGGAGCCACUGGAAGGAGUCGAGGAGCUCUGCAUCGCCGGCCACGUCGUCGUCUUCCUCGGGUCACCGGCGAUCCCCUUCUUCCCCGACGAUGUUCUGCUGCUCCUAAGCAUUCACGGGGCCACCCUGUGCCUGCUAGGUGAGCCUCCGCGUCGCUCCCUUCCCUCUCUUUCACGCUCUAGUGCGCUCCAUCAUUGUCCCCGCGGAGGUGAACUCCGCCGCCCGCCAUGGCCGUCGCCCGCGCGUCGUGCGCGCUCCCGAGCCCCAUCGCAAGUCACUGGCGUGCUCCAGGACGCGCGCAGCACCCAGACGCAGCCCCAACCGCACCCCUAGGCCGCUCCAGCCACGUUUCAAACGAGGCUCGAACACCACCGCGCCACGGCUUGUCGCCGGCGCCACUCCGGCCAUCCCCGCCCCUGUUGCUUGCUCCAUCGGACACGCCACAUCGCCAGCUAGCUGUGGCCGCAAACCGCGCACGUUUUGGUGCCCCGUAGCGUUUUUCCGGCCGUCUCCGGCGAUGAGCCGCCGCGGGAGAGGCUCGCCGGAGCUCUCUCUGGCGCCCCGCCUACGUGGACGGCCUGGGGCCACCACCUGGGUCGCUGACCUGUGGGCCCCAGGGGCCCGGCCUGCCUGUUGACCCGGUCCACCAUGCUGACUGGACCGGCCCAUGCAACUGAAAGAUGGGGCUCACACCCCCCUAAUUAACAAAGUUAAUUAAGCUAAUUUAAUUAACCUAAUUAGAGAGUGACAGGUGGGCCCCUUCUAAUUAAUUAACUUAGUUAGUUUAAGUUAACCUCUGUUAGCCCUACCGUCUAUGAAAGAUGGGACCCACUGGUCAGUUUGAGCAGUCAGCGGGUCUGUGACCUGCUGAUGUCAUGCUGACACUCUGCUGACAUCAUAUUUUCCUUUUGUGUUAUUUUAAAUAAUUUCAGAAUAUGCUUUAAUCUUUGAAAAAUCAUAGAAAAUAAAUCGUACCUCGGAUGAAAAUGUUUUCUAUAUGAAAGUUGCUCAGAAAAAUCCAACGAAUCCGAAUACACGGUCCGUUCAUCUGUCACAUGCCCCUAGCAUGCUGAACAUGGGACAUUCCCCCUCUGGUCAUUUGUCUGACACAGGUCCGGAACCGGGAAAACAUUCCCGGUUGAAUCCCCCCUUCACCUAUAUAGUGUAGCCAUACGUUACGUCACUCCCGGCACAACAUAUUGCCACGUUAUGCUUUCUGAUGCUAUGUUUGCUUUAUACUUACUGUUUCUUCCCCCUCUUCUCUCCGGUAGACCCCGAGACCGAUGCCGCCCCUGUGAUCGACUACGUCGACGACGACCCCUCCUUGCCAGAGCAACCAGGCAAGCCCCCCCUUUGAUCAUCCUGAUAUCGCCCAUUCCAUUCUCUCAUGCUUGCAUUAGAUUUUGCUACUGUAAUUGUUUGCUCCUAUUCUGAUGCAUAGCCUGCGUUUGUAUCUGUUGUUGUACCUUACCUGCUUAUCCUAAACUGCUUAGUAUAGGUUGGUUAGUGAUCCAUCAGUGACCCCCACCUUGUCAUUGUUGCCCCUUCUUCAUCAUUGAAGACCCGAUCAACGGGAUCGAACACCAGGCCCCGGCACCGCACAUCACUUUCCCCUUAGUUGCUGGACACUAAUGGGUUACUAUCGAGUGCCGAGGGUGAGACCGCUUCAGCACUUCUGAUGUUAACAUGUAGUGUAGCUAUUCAGUCGUGGUCAUCGAGGGUGAUUUCCUCCUUAACCACUUCCGAUACGGCUCUGUCGUUCAACCCCUCAAGUGUCAACCUCGAGGGUGGAUCCUCUUACGUUCACCUUGAUGAUUACAUCGAGUGGAAUUCACCGGGGGUGAUUCCUCGGGUUUUCCCCUUAAUGUUUGGACACACGGAUACUUGGACUUUACAACUGUUACUUGGAAAGGCGGGUCGACCCUGAGGGGUACCCGCGAGUGAUGUGGGGUCGGGUUGACCUGGAAGGUGCCCGCGAGAUAAUUACGAGGCGUGGUCGGGCAUUCCUAGCCCUUGCCGCAAGUCCUCGAGACGGGGCAACGGGGUCACAUAUCGUGAGUCUCUACUUGUUACCGCGUGCUCCUAAUCCACUAUGAUUUGGAUAUUUGAUCCGAGGGGCCUCUGGCCUGAUAGCACUAACCAUCACGUGGGCAUAGUAUGGGUGUUCUACGUCAUAUGCAUCAGCCGAAGCUUAAUAGAUGUCAGCGACUGAGCGGCGCGCGCCGGGUUGGACUGCGUAAGCACCUGCCUUGUUGAAGGAGGUAGCUAGGUCUGCUCACCCGCCGCCCAUGCAACAUGCAGGAGUUCCUAGGGAGAUGGCCCAUGACCCCUAGGGGCAUAUGUUUAGUCCGGCGUGCUGACCUCUCUAUUAAGCCUAGGUCGGGUUGCGGCGUAUUGUUUGGCCGAGGCCGGGCAUGACCCAGGAAAGUGUGUCCGGCCGGAGUUAAUCGAGCGUGGUGGGUAAGUUGGUGCACCCCUGCAGGGAAGAAAACAUCUAUCGAUAGCCUGUCCUGUGGUAACGGACACUUGGAGUUGUAUCCCGAUCGAUACAACUAGAACUAGAUACUUGUGAUGAGUAAUGGAUUGUGAUGAUAACUAGAUAGUAUGGCUCUAGGAUUGCUUUCUCGCAGGGAGUCGAGAAAGGAUCUCUGGCCGAGGUUGAUAACACUGCUACUACUUUACUUUAUGCUACUCUUAUCUCUUAUGAUGCUGCGAGAUGCUUGAAGAUGCUGAAGAUGCUAGUCUUCGAUAGUACUAGGCCUUCUCUCUAUUCUGGCAUUUCUGCAGCCCAGUCCACAUAUACAGCCUUCCUUUGAUAAUGUUGCAUAUGUAGUGUAGAUACUUUCUUGCGAGUACUUUGGAUGAGUACUCACGGUUGCUUUGCUCCCCCUUUUCCCCCUUUUUUCUCCUUUCCGGUUGGUGCAACCAGAUGUCGGAGCCCAGGAGCCAGAUGCCACCGCCGAUGCCUACUAAUGCGUGGAGGCCCCCGACGACCAGGAGUAGUUAGGAGGCUCCCAGGCAGGAGGCCUUGCCUUUUCAAUCGUAGAUGCUUUUGUGCUGGCCUUCUUAAGGAAAACUUGUCUAACUUAUGUCUGUACUUAGAUAUUGUUGCUUCCGCUGACUCUUGUAAAAUCGAGCUUAUGUAUUCGAACCCUCGAGGCCCCUGGCUUGUAAUAUAAAGCUUGUAUUGUGUUUAAUUUGUGUCAAGGGAUCCUUCUAUAGCGUACCCAUGGAGCAUAAUAGAGUAUGAGAUUGUAUCUCGUUUUUGGCCAUUCACGGCCAUGGAAUAAAAUAUUUCCUUAGCUUCUUUGAUUCUUCCAUGCUUGCAAAGGUAGUCCAUGACUGAGCUGCAAGUAACAACGUUUGGCAUACUACCUCGGCUUCUCAUUACUUUCAACAACCUAAAGGCUUCUUUCAGCUGACCCGAAGUUAAAAAUCCAUGGAUCAGGGUAUUAUAUAUCCUAACAUGUGGUUGGACACCAUUAUGAACCAUUGAUCAAAGAACUACCUCUGCCGUGUCCAUUGCUCUUGCUUUGCAUAGCGCAUCGAUAAAGGAGUUAUACGUCACCACAUCAGGCACAACCCCCUGCUGCAUCAUUUCAGGGAGCAAAUUGCAUGCUUUGCUUAUUUCACCCUCCUUCAAGAAGCCAUCGAUUACCAAGCUGUAUAACACCACGCUGGGAGAGUGGUCAGAUCCUUUUUCGGCCAUCAUCCGGAGCAAGUCAAGUGCAAGCUGGCUCCUACCACUGUCGCAGAAACUCUUGAGAAUUACUGAGUAGGAGAUGACAUUAGGCAGGUCGUCGGGCAUCCUGUGGAGCAGCACGCCCAAAGCGUCCUCCAUUCGCUUCAUGUCACAGAGGCACUUGAGUAAGCUGCUGUAGGUAACGACAUCCGUCUUGAUGCCUGUCUUGAGGAGGCGGCCGAAGAAGGCAGGCCCUAGGUCUGGGCGGCAUGCUCGGUGGCAACACUCAAUUAGUAUGUUGUAGGUGUACAUGGAGGGUGCUAGCACCUGGCGACGGCCUGCUCGGGCCAUGCGGUUGAAGAGAUCAAUGGCGAGGGCAGGGCCAUCGGUGCAGGCAGGUGAGGCCGGCGCACGCGCGAGGGCAGCAAAUAAGUCGUUGAGUGCAUGUACUGAUACUGUGACAGGUUGGUGCAGCAUUUCGUCGAACAGUUGGUGCGCGAGCUCUGGCCUGAGUGUCCCGAAGCCAAGAUGGUCGUGGAGUUCGUUCAGCAGCUCGUUGGCGCAUGAGGAAACGGAGCUGGAGAAAGAGCGGACCUGAAGGCGUGACAUCGUCGCCGUCUAUGUAAUGCCCCGGAUCCGAUGCGCCAGGUGUCUGUCAGUUAUUCGCCGUCAUUGCCAUGUCAUUUGCUUGUGUGUUGCAUUUUAUCAUGUCAUCAUGUGCAUCUCAUUUUGCAUACGUGUUCGUCUCAUGCAUCCGAGCAUUUUUCCCAUUGUCCGUUUUGCAAUCCGGCACUCCUAUGUCCUCCGUUGUCCCCCUAUUGUCUCUUGUUGUGAGCGGGUGUUAAACAUUCUCGGAAUGGACCGUGAUUUGCCAAGCGGCCUUGGUACACCACCGGUAGACCGCCUGUCAAGUUUUGUUCCAUUUGGAGGUCGUUUGAUGCUCCAACGGUUAACCGCGUAGCCCGAACCCCCUUCUUUUGUGCAACCCAACACCCCUCCAAAGUGGCCCAAUAAACCAUCCAAACCCCCUCCAUGCUCUCGGUCAUUCGAUCACGAUCGUGUGGGCGAAAACCGCUCUCCAUUUGGAGUCUCCUAGCUCCCUCUACCUAUAAAUAUGUGCAUCUCUCCCAAAAAUCCCGCAGUCCAAACCCUAGCUUCUUCCUCCUCCCGCCGCCGGACAUGUCCGCGUCGCCGCCGGACACAUACAGCCGCCGCCUCAGUGAAUCGCGUNNNNNNNNNNNNNNNNNNNNNNNNNNNNNNNNNNNNNNNNNNNNNNNNNNNNNNNNNNNNNNNNNNNNNNNNNNNNNNNNNNNNNNNNNNNNNNNNNNNNNNNNNNNNNNNNNNNNNNNNNNNNNNNNNNNNNNNNNNNNNNNNNNNNNNNNNNNNNNNNNNNNNNNNNNNNNNNNNNNNNNNNNNNNNNNNNNNNNNNNNNNNNNNNNNNNNNNNNNNNNNNNNNNNNNNNNNNNNNNNNNNNNNNNNNNNNNNNNNNNNNNNNNNNNNNNNNNNNNNNNNNNNNNNNNNNNNNNNNNNNNNNNNNNNNNNNNNNNNNNNNNNNNNNNNNNNNNNNNNNNNNNNNNNNNNNNNNNNNNNNNNNNNNNNNNNNNNNNNNNNNNNNNNNNNNNNNNNNNNNNNNNNNNNNNNNNNNNNNNNNNNNNNNNNNNNNNNNNNNNNNNNNNNNNNNNNNNNNNNNNNNNNNNNNNNNNNCCUCCGCCCGGCCGCCGGCGCCGCCCGAGCUCGCUGCCGCGCCGGUGCGCUGCCGUUGCCUCCGCCCCGCCGCCCGGUGCCGCCUCCCUACCCAGCCGGCCCUCCUUCUUCCGGAUCCGGCCCUGGGAGCUCUGGCCGCCCUGGAUCCGCCCAUCCCCGGCGUCUCCCUCCUCUCCGGCGAGCUCUCCGACGAGAUCCGGCCCUGCCUCGACUUCCGUGCCAAAUUCAACCCUAGAUCCGAAGGGUAAAAUAUCACUAAGUCCUUUUCUCUGUAACAUUUUAUGCCUCUGUUCAUUGCAUCAUAACUCCGCAUCCGUAGCUCCGUUUCAUGCGCAUGAUAUAUUAAAUUGUUCAUCAUGAGAUUCUAUUAAUUUCAUUCCAUUGUGCCAUGUUUGUUUGAGUUCAUCUUGAUGCCAUAAUCAUCGUUGCAAGAGUGCUAUAUGAUAUUAAAUGUUGUCUGUUAACAGAACUUGAUGAUUUGUCUUUUUCGUUGCAUUUUUUGUGUGCAUCCUAUGAGCGUGAGCUCUACAUGUGUUUUGUGCUACAUCAUGCCAUCUUUACAGUGGUGCAAUCCAUGUAUUUUGUGAGUCUUUUACUGAGUGCAUCAAGCUCGUGAAGUAGGGUACUUGCUGUUGCUGUUUUGUUAGUCUGAAUCUGCUAUAUCAUGAUGCUAUGUAAACCUGCUCCUACAAGUCAUUCUAUACAUAAUCUGGAGAUGUUCAUUAAGGAUGUUUUGUUAUACAUGCCAUGCUCUAUCCAUCCAUGUUCCUGGUUGCAUUUAUAGCCUGCUGUAGCUUGUUAUUAUCUUGCUCUCAAACUUGCCAAAUAAUGUUGCUGUCAGCCUGUUAACAUUAAGUUCAAUGUUGCCAUGGUUGUUGUUAGUGAUCCACGAACCCUAUAAACUUGCUCUUGCCAUGCUUAGCUUCAUAAACAUGUCUUCUUAUUGUUGGUUACAUUGGCAUGCCAUGUAUUGCUCUGUCGUGAGUGGUAUAAGCUCACCAACAUGCCUACUUAUUGUUGUUCCUGCCAUGUAUGAAUCUGUCAUAUCAUUUGCCAUGUUUGCAUGGAUGAUUCCAUCUUUUAUGUUGAUCUUUAGAAUUAGUUCAGUAAGGGAGUUUUGUUCUUUGUAUUUAGUAUUAACAUGCCAUGCCUUUUUUUGCCAUGAUAAGUUCCUGUAACAUGUUGUUUGAUAGUCCUAAACAUUGCAACCUGAUGUUACUUCUGCCAAGUCUGAAACUGUUAUUAUUUGCAAUCUUGCCAUGUCCUUUUGAGCAUGUUAUAGUGUUUUAUGGACAUAGCUAAGUAUUCAUGUUUUGUCAUGCUUUACCUGUACUUCAUGCCCAUGCCUUUGGUUUUCACGUUGAGAUGCUGUAGCAUAUUUUUUUGAUGCUUGCUAGAUGCCUUGUUGCCGUUUUGGAUAGCUUCAUCCGUUCGUCUGCUUCAUGGACUCGUUCUUCUUCCUAGCGGGAUUUCAGGCAAGAUGAUCGUCACCUUUGAUCUCAUUACUAUCAUUGCUAUGCUAGUUGCUUCGUUCUAUCGCUAUUCCGCGCUUCCUAUCACUUGUUCUUCAAGCCUCCCCAAAUUGCCUUGAACCUCUAACCUUUGUCACCCUUCCUAGCAAACCGUUGUUUGGCUAUGUUACCGCUUUUUCUUAGCCCCUCUUAUAGCGUUGCUAGUUGCAGGUGAAGAUGAAGAUUGCUCCAUGUUGGUUUAUGUUUAUGUUGGGAUAUCACAAUAUCUCUUAUAUUAUUAAUGCAUCUAUAUACUUGGUAAAGGGUGGAAGGCUUGGCCUUAUGCCUGGUGUUUUGUUCCACUCUUGCUGCCCUAGUUUCCGUCAUAUCGGUAUUAUGUGAAGGAAAUAUGCCCUAGAGGCAAUAAUAAAGUUAUUAUUUAUUUCCUCAUAUCAUGAUAAAUGUUUAUUAUUCAUGCUAGAAUUGUAUUAACCGGAAAGAUGAUACAUGUGUGAAUACAUAGACAAACAUAUAGUCACUAGUAUGCCUCUACUUGACUAGCUCAUUAAUCAAAGAUGGUUAUGUUUCCUAACCAUAGACAUGUGUUGUCAUUUGAUUAAUGGGAUCACAUCAUUAGGAGAAUGAUGUGAUUGACAUGACCCAUUCCGUUAGCCUAUCACUUGAUCGUUUAGUAUGUUGCUAUUGCUUUCUUCAUGAGUUAUACAUGUUCCUGUAACUAUGAGAUUAUGCAACUCCCGUUUAUCGGAGGAACACUUCGGGUGCUACCAAACGUCACAACGUAACUGGGUGAUUAUAAAGGAGUACUACAGGUGUCUCCAAAGGUACAUGUUGGGUUGGCGUAUUUCGAGAUUAGGUUUUGUCACUCCGAUUGUCGGAGAGGUAUCUCUGGGCCCUCUCGGUAAUGCACGUCACUAGAAGCCUUGCAAGCAAUGUGACUAUUGAGUUAGUUGCGAGAUGAUGCAUUAUGUAACGAGUAAAUAGAAUUGCCCGUAACGAGAUUGAACUAGGUAUUGAGAUACCGACGAUCGAAUCUCGGGCAAGUAACAUACCGAUGACAAAGGGAACAACGUAUGUUGUUAUGCGGUUUGACCGAUAAAGAUCUUCGUAGAAUAUGUAGGAGCCAAUAUGAGCAUCCAGGUUCCGCUAUUGGUUAUUGACCGAGAAUAGUUCUAGGUCAUGUCUACAUAGUUCUCGAACCCGUAGGGUCCGCACGCUUAACGUUACGAUGACAGUUUUAUUAUGAGUUUAUAAGUUUUGAUGUACCGAAGUUUGUUUGGAGUCCCGGAUGUGAUCACGGACAUGACGAGGAGUCUCGAAAUGGUCGAGACAUAAAGAUUGAUAUAUUGGAAGCCUAUAUUUGGACAUCGGAAUGGUUCCAGGUGAAAUCGGGAUUUUACCGGUACACCGGGGGGUUACCAGAACCCUCCCGGGGGUUAAUGGGCCUUAGUGGGCCAUGAGGGAGAAGAGGAGGGCCGGCCAGGGCAGGCCGCGUGCCCCCUCCCCCCUAGUCCGAAUAGGACAAGGAAGGGGGGCGGCGCCCCCCUUUCCUCUUUCCCCUCCCCCUUUCCUUCUCCACCAAGGCAAGAGGGGGGAGUCCUACUCCCGGUGGGAGUAGGACUCCUCCAGGCGCACCCCUAGGGGGCCGGCCGCACCUCCCCCUCCCUCCUUUAUAUACGGGGGCAGGGGGGCACCCUAGAACACACAAGUUGAUCUUCAAGAUCGUUCCUUANNNNNNNNNNNNNNNNNNNNNNNNNNNNNNNNNNNNNNNNNNNNNNNNNNNNNNNNNNNNNNNNNNNNNNNNNNNNNNNNNNNNNNNNNNNNNNNNNNNNNNNNNNNNNNNNNNNNNNNNNNNNNNNNNNNNNNNNNNNNNNNNNNNNNNNNNNNNNNNNNNNNNNNNNNNNNNNNNNNNNNNNNNNNNNNNNNNNNNNNNNNNNNNNNNNNNNNNNNNNNNNNNNNNNNNNNNNNNNNNNNNNNNNNNNNNNNNNNNNNNNNNNNNNNNNNNNNNNNNNNNNNNNNNNNNNNNNNNNNNNNNNNNNNNNNNNNNNNNNNNNNNNNNNNNNNNNNNNNNNNNNNNNNNNNNNNNNNNNNNNNNNUUUAGGCGAAGCCCUGCGCCGGUUGAACACCAUCAUCGUCACCACGCCGUCGUGCUGACGGAACUCAUCCCCGACACUUUGCUGGAUCGGAGUCCGGGGAUCGUCAUCGAGCUGAACAUGUGCUGAACUCGGAGGUGCCGUAUGUUCGGUACUUGGAUCGGUCGGAUCGUGAAGACGUACGACUACAUCAACCGCGUUGUCAUAAUGCUUCCGCUUAUGGUCUACGAGGGUACCUGGACAAUACUCUCCCCUCUCGUUGCUAUGCAUCACCAUGAUCUUGCGUGUGCGUAGAAAUUUUUUUGAAAUUACUACGUUCCCCAACAGUGGCAUCCGAGCCUGGUUUUAUGCGUAGAUGUCAUAUGCACGAGUAUAACACAAGUGAGUUGUGGGCGAUACAAGUCAUACUGCUUACCAGCAUGUCAUACUUUGGCUCAUCGGUAUUGUGAGAUGAAGCGGCCCGGACCGACAUUACGCGUACGCUUACGUGAGACUGGUUUCACCGUUACGAGCACUCAUGCUUAAAGGUGACUGGCGGGUGUCUGUCUCUCUCACUUUAGCUGAAUCGAGUGUGGCUACGCCCGGUCCUUGCGAAGGUUAAAACAACACUAACUUGAUGAACUAUCAUUGUGGUUUUAAUGCGUAGGUAAGAACGGUUCUUGCUCAGCCCGUAGCAGCCACGUAAAAUUUGCAACAACAAAGUAGAGGACGUCUAACUUGUUUUUGCAGGGCAUGUUGUGAUGUGAUAUGAUCAAGACAUGAUGCUAUAUUUUAUUGUAUGAGAUGAUCAUGUUUUGUAACCGAAGUUAUCGACAACUGGCAGGAGCCAUAUGGUUGUCGCUUUAUUGUAUGAAAUGCAAACACCCUGUAAUUGCUUUACUUUAUCACUAUGCGGUAGCGAUAGUCGUAGAAGCAAUAGAUGGCGUAACGACAAUGAUGCUACGAUGGAGAUCAAGGUGUCGCGCCGGUGACGAUGGUGAUCACGACGGUGCUUUGAAGAUGGAGAUCACAAGAACAAGAUGAUGAUGGCCAUAUCAUAUCACUUAUAUUGAUUGCAUGUGAUGUUUAUCCUUUAUGCAUCUUAUCUUGCUUUGAUUGACGGUAGCAUUUUAAGAUGAUCUCUCACUAAAAUUAUCAAGAAGUGUUCUCCCUGAGUAUGCACCGUUGCGAAAGUUCUUCGUGCUAAGACACCACGUGAUGAUCGGGUGUGAUAGGCUCUACGUUCAAAUACAACGGGUGCAAAACAGUUGCACACGCGGAAUACUCAGGUUAAACUUGAUGAGCCUAGCAUAUAACAGAUAUGGCCUCGGAACACGGAGACCGAAAGGUCGAGCGUGAAUCAUAUAGUAGAUGUGAUCAACAUAUUGAUGUUCAUCGUUGAAACUACUCCAUCUCACGUGACGAUCGGACAUGGUGUAGUUGAUAUGGAUCACGUAAUCACUCAGAGGAUUAGAGGGAUGUCUAUCUAAGUGGGAGUUCUUAAGUGAUAUGAUUAAUUGAACUUAAAUUUAUCAUGAACUUAGUACCUGAUAGUAUUUUGCUUGUCUAUGUUUGUUGUAGAUAGAUGGCUCGUGUUGUUGUUCCGUUGAAUUUUAAUGCAUUCCUUGAGAAAGCAAAGUUGAAAGAUGAUGGUAGCAAUUACACGGACUGGGUCCGUAACCUGAGGAUUAUCCUCAUUGCUGCACAGAAGAAUUACAUCCUGGAAGCACCGCUGGGUGCCAGGCCUCCUGCCGAUGCAACUGACAACGUUAAGAACGUCUGGUAGAGCAAAGCUGAUGACUACUCGAUAGUUCAGUGUGCCAUGCUUUACGGCUUAGAACCGGGUCUUCAACGAUGUUUUGAACUUCAUGGAGCAUAUGAGAUGUUCCAGGAGUUGAAGCUAAUAUUUCAAUCAAAUGCCCGGAUUGAGAGAUAUGAAGUCUCCAAUAAGUUCUAUAGCUGCAAGAUGGAGGAGAAUAGUUCUGUCAGUGAACACAUACUCAAAAUGUCUGGGUAUAAUAAUCACUUGAUUCAACUAGGAGUUAAUCUUCCUGAUGAUAGUGUCAUUGACAGAAUUCUUCAAUCACUGCCACCAAGCUACAAGAGCUUCGUGAUGAACUAUAAUAUGCAAGGGAUGGACAAGACUAUUCCCGAGCUCUUCACAAUGCUAAAAGCCGCGGAGGUAGAAAUCAAGAAGGAGCAUCAAGUGUUGAUGGUUAACAAGACCACCAGUUUCAAGAAAAAGGGCAAAGGGAAGAAGAAGGGGAACUUCAAAAAGAACAGCAAACAAGUUGUUGCUCAAGAGAAGAAACCCAAGUCUGGACCUAAGCCUAAGACUGAAUUCUUCUACUGCAAGCAGACUGGACACUGGAAGCGGAACUACACCAAGUAUUUGGCGGAUAAGAAGGAUGGCAAAGUAAACAAAGGUAUAUGUGAUAUACAUGUUAUUGAUGUGUACCUUACUAAUGCUCGCAGUAGUACCUGGGUAUUUGAUACUGGUUCUAUUGCUAAUAUUUGCAACUCGAAAAAGGGACUACGGAUUAAGCGAAGAUUGGCUAAGGACGAGGUGACGAUGCGCAUGGGAAAUGGUUCCAAAGUCAAUGUGAUCGCGGUCGGCACGCUACCUCUACAUCUACCAUCGGGAUUAGUUUUAGACCUAAAUAAUUGUUAUUUGGUGCCAGUGUUGAGCAUGAACAUUAUAUCUGGAUCUUGUUUGAUGCGAGACGGUUAUUCAUUUAAGUCAGAGAAUAAUGGUUGUUCUAUUUAUAUGAGUAAUAUCUUUUAUGGUCAUGCACCCUUGAAGAGUGGUCUAUUUUUAUUGAAUCUCGAUAGUAGUGAUACACAUAUUCAUAGUGUUGAAACCAAAAGAUGCAGAGUUGAUAAUGAUAGUGCAACCUAUUUGUGGCACUGCCGUUUAGGUCAUAUCGGUGUAAAGCGCAUGAAGAAACUCCAUACUGAUGGGCUUUUGGAAUCACUUGAUUAUGAAUCACUUGGUACUUGCGAACCGUGCCGCAUGGGCAAGAUGACUAAAACGCUGUUCUCCGGAACUAUGGAGCGAGCAACUGAUUUGUUGGAAAUCAUACAUACUGAUGUUUGUGGUCCAAUGAAUGUUGAGGCUCACGGCGGGUAUCGUUAUUUUCUCACCUUCACAAAUGAUUUAAGCAGAUAUGGGUAUAUCUACUUAAUGAAACACAAGUCUGAAACAUUUGAAAAGUUCAAAGAAUUUCAGAGUGAAAUGGAAAAUCAUCGUAACAAGAAAAUAAAAUUUCUAUGAUUUGAUUGUGGAGGAGAAUAUUUGAGUUACGAUUUUGGUUUACAUUUGAAACAAUGCGGAAUAGUUUCGCAACUCACGCCACCCAGAACACCACAACGAAAUGGUGUGUCCGAAUGUCGUAAUCGUACUUUACUAGAUAUGGUGCGAUCUAUGAUGUCUCUUACUGAUUUACCGCUAUCGUUUUGGGGUUAUGCUUUAGAGACGGCCGCAUUCACGUUAAAUAGGGCACCAUCAAAAUCCGUUGAGACGACGCCUCAUGAACUGUGGUUUGGCAAGAAACCAAAGUUGUCGUUUCUUAAAGUUUGGGGCUGCGAUGCUUAUGUGAAGAAACUUCAACCAGAUAAGCUCGAACCCAAAUCGGAGAAAUGUGUCUUCAUAGGAUACCCAGAAGAGACUGUUGGGUACACCUUCUAUCACAGAUUUGAGGGCAAGAUUUUCGUUGCUAAAUUCGGAUCCUUUCUAGAGAAGGAGUUUCUCUCGAAAAAAGUGAGUGGGAGGAAAGUAGAACUUGAUGAGGUAAUUGUACCUGCUCCCUUAUUGGAAAGUAGUUCAUCACAAGAAUAUGUUCCUGUGACAACUACACCAAUUAGUGAGGAAGCUAAUGAUAUUGAUCAUGAAACUUCAGAUCAAGUUUCUACUGAACCUCGAAGGUCUACCAGAGUAAGAUCCGCACCAGAGUGGUAUGGUAAUCCUAUUCUGGAAGUCAUGUUACUUGACCAUGAUGAACCUACGAACUAUGAGGAAGCGAUGAUGAGCCCAGAUUCCUCAAAAUGGCUAGAGGCCAUGAAAUCUGAGAUGGGAUCCAUGUAUGAGAACAAAGUAUGGACUUUGGUUGACUUGCCCGAUGAUCGGCAAGCCAUUGAGAAUAAAUGGAUCUUUAAGAAGAAGACUGACACUGAUGGUAAUGUAACUAUCUAUAAAGCUCGACUUGUUGCGAAAGGUUUUCGACAAGUUCAAGGGGUUGACUACGAUGAGACUUUCUCACCCGUAGCGAUGCUUAAGUCUGUCCGAAUCAUGUUAGCAAUUGCUGCAUUUUAUGAUUAUGAAAUUUGGCAAUUGGAUGUCAAAACUGCAUUCUUGAAUGGAUUUCUGGAAGAAGAGUUGUAUAUGAUGCAACCAGAAGGUUUUGUUGAUCCAAAAGGUUCUAACAAAGUGUGCAAGCUCUAGCAAUCCAUUUAUGGACUGGUGCAAGCAUAUCGGAGUUGGAAUAAACGCUUUGAUAGUGUGAUCAAAGCAUAUGGUUUUAUACAGACUUUUGGAGAAGCAUGUAUUUACAAGAAAGUGAGUGGGAGCUCUGUAGCAUUUCUGAUAUUAUAUGUAGAUGACAUAUUAUUAAUUGGAAAUGAUAUAGAAUUUCUGGAUAGCAUAAAGGGAUACUUGAAUAAAAGUUUUUCUAUUAAAGACCUCGGUGAAGCUGCUUACAUAUUGGGCAUCAAGAUUUAUAGAGAUAGAUCAAGACUCUUAAUAGGACUUUCACAAAGCACAUACCUUGAUAAAGUUUUAAAAAGGUUCAAAAUGGAUCAGGCAAAGAAAGGGUUCUUGCCCGUACUACAAGGUGUGAAGUUGAGUCAGACUCAAUGCCCGACCACAGCAGAAGAUAGAGAGAAAAUGAAAGAUGUUCCCUAUGCUUCAGCCAUAGGCUCUAUCAUGUAUGCAGUGCUGUGUACCAGACCUGGCGUGUGCUUAGCAAUAAGCUUGGCAGGAAGGUACCAAAGUAAUCCAGGAGUGGAUCACUGGAAGCGGUCAAGAACAUCCUGAAAUACCUGAAAAGGACUAAGGAUAUGUUUCUCGUAUAUGGAGGUGACAAAGAGCUAGUCGUAAAUGGUUACGUCGAUGCAAGCUUUGAUACUGAUCCCGACGAUUCUAAAUCACAAACCGGAUACGUGUUUUUAUUAAACGGUGGAGCUGUAAGUUGGUGCAGUUCUAAACAAAGCGUCGUGGCGGGAUCUACAUGUGAAGCGGAGUACAUAGCUACUUCGGAAGCAGCAAAUGAAGGAGUCUGGAUGAAGGAGUUCAUUUCCGAUCUAGGUGUCAUACCUAGUGCAUCGGGACCAAUGAAGAUCUUCUGUGACAAUACUGGUGCAAUUGCCUUGGCAAAGGAAUCCAGAUUUCACAAGAGGACCAAGCACAUCAAGAGACGCUUCAAUUCCAUCCGGGACCAAGUCCAGGUGGGGGACAUAGAGAUUUGCAAGAUACAUACGGAUCUGAAUGUUGCAGACCCGUUGACUAAGCCUCUUUCACGAGCAAAACAUGAUCAGCACCAAGACUCCAUGGGUGUUAGAAUCAUUACUGUGUAAUCUAGAUUAUUGACUCUAGUGCAAGUGGGAGACUGAAGGAAAUAUGCCCUAGAGGCAAUAAUAAAGUUAUUAUUUAUUUCCUCGUAUCAUGAGAAAUGUUUAUUAUUCAUGCUAGAAUUGUAUUAACCGGAAACAUGAUACAUGUGUGAAUACAUAGACAAACAUAUAGUCACUAGUAUGCCUCUACUUGACUAGCUCAUUAAUCAAAGAUGGUUAUGUUUCCUAACCAUAGACAUGUGUUGUCAUUUGAUUAAUGGGAUCACAUCAUUAGGAGAAUGAUGUGAUUGACAUGACCCAUUCCGUUAGCCUAGCACUUGCUAUUGCUUUCUUCAUGACUUAUACAUGUUCCUGUAACUAUGAGAUUAUGCAACUCCCGUUUACCGGAGGAACACUUUGGGUGCUACCAAACGUCACAACGUAACUGGGUGAUUAUAAAGGAGUACUACAGGUGUCUCCAAAGGUACAUGUUGGGUUGGCAUAUUUCGAGAUUAGGUUUUGUCACUCCGAUUGUCGGAGAGGUAUCUCUGGGCCCUCUCGGUAAUGCACAUCACUAUAAGCCUUGCAAGCAAUGUGACUAAUGAGUUAGUUGCAAGAUGAUGCAUUACGUAACGAGUAAAUAGACUUGCCGGUAACGAGAUUGAACUAGGUAUUGAGAUACCGACGAUCGAAUCUCGGGCAAGUAACAUACCGAUGACAAAGGGAACAACGUAUGUUGUUAUGCGGUUUGACCGAUAAAGAUCUUCGUAGAAUAUGUAGGAGCCAAUAUGAGCAUCUAGGUUCCGCUAUUGGUUAUUGACCGAGAAUAGUUCUAGGUCGUGUCUACAUAGUUCUCGAACCCGUAGGGUCCGCACGCUUAACGUUACAAUGACAGUUUUAUUAUGAGUUUAUAAGUUUUGAUGUACCAAAGUUUGUUCGGAGUCCCGGAUGUGAUCACGGACAUGACGAGGAGUCUCUAAAUGCUCGAGACAUAAAUAUUGAUAUAUUGGAAGCCUAUAUUUGGACAUCGGAAUGGUUCCGGGUGAAAUCGGGAUUUUACCGGAACACCGGGGGGUUACCAGAACCCUCCCGGGGGUUAAUGGGUCUUAGUGGGCCAUGAGGGAGAAGAGGAGGGCCGGCCAGGGCAGGCCGCGCGCCCCCUUCCCCCCUAGUCCGAAUAGGACAAGGAAGGGGGCGGCGCCCCCUUUCCUCUUUCCCCUCCCCCUUUCCUUCUCCACCAAGGCAAGAGGGGGAGUCCUACUCCCGGUGGGAGUAGGACUCCUCCAGGCGCACCCCUAGGGGGCCGGCCGCACCUCCCCCUCCCUCCUUUAUAUACGGGGGCAGGGGGCACCCUAGAACACACAAGUUGAUCUUCAAGAUUGUUCCUUAGCCGUGUGCGGUGCCCCCCUCCACAAUAUUCCACCUCGGCCAUAUCGUCGCGGAGUUUAGGCGAAGCCCUGCGCUGGUAGAACAUCAUCAUCGUCACCACGCCGUCGUGCUGACGGAACUCAUCCCCGACACUUUGCUGGAUCGGAGUCCGGGGAUCGUCAUCGAGCUGAACGUGUGCUGAACUCGGAGGUGCCGUACGUUCGGUACUUGGAUCGGUCGGAUCGUGAAGACGUACGACUACAUCAACCGCGUUGUCAUAACGCUUGUGCUUACGAUCUACGAGGGUACGUGGACAAUACUCUCCCCUCUCGUUGCUAUGCAUCACCAUGAUCUUGUGUGUGCGUAGGAAAUUUUUUGGAAUUACUACGUUCCCCAACAUUAUGUUCCCGGAUUUUGCGUCCCUAACGCGGUUGGGUGAUUUAUGGGACCCCCUUGACAGUUCGCCUUGAAUAAAACUCCUCUAGCAAGGCCCAACAUGUGUUUUACCAUUUGCCUACCACCUAUUACCUUUUCCCUUGGGAGUAAUUAACCCGAGGNNNNNNNNNNNNNNNNNNNNNNNNNNNNNNNNNNNNNNNNNNNNNNNNNNNNNNNNNNNNNNNNNNNNNNNNNNNNNNNNNNNNNNNNNNNNNNNNNNNNNNNNNNNNNNNNNNNNNNNNNNNNNNNNNNNNNNNNNNNNNNNNNNNNNNNNNNNNNNNNNNNNNNNNNNNNNNNNNNNNNNNNNNNNNNNNNNNNNNNNNNNNNNNNNNNNNNNNNNNNNNNNNNNNNNNNCAGUGCUUCUCUAAGUGUUGGUCCGAACUGAGUAGACUGCGGGGCCACCUCGGGGAAACUCGAGGUCUGGUUUUACUCGUAGGAUGUCUCAUCCGGUGUUGCCCUAAGAACGAGAUAUGUGCAGCUACUAUCGGGAUUGUCGGCACAUCGGGUGGCUUUGCUGGUCUUGUUUUACCAUUGUCGAGAUGUCUUGUAACCGGGAUUCCGAGACUGAUUGGGUCUUCCUGGGAGAAGGAAUAUCCUUCAUUGAUCGCAAGAGCUUAUCAUGGGCUAAGUUGGGACACCCCUGCAAGGUAUAAACUUUCGAGAGUCGUGCCCACGGUUAUGUGGCAGAUGGGAAUUUGUUAAUAUCCGGUUGUAGAUAACUUGACACCUGAUUCGAAUUAAAACGCAUCAACCGCGUGUGUAGCCGUGAUGGUCUCUUCUCGGCGGAGUCCGGGAAGUGAACACGUUUUUGAGUUAUGUUUGACGUAAGUAGGAGUUCAGGAUCACCUCUCGAUCAUUGCUAGCUUCACGACCGUUCUGUUGCUUCUCUUCUCGCUCUUAUUUGCAUAUGUUAGCCACCAUAUAUGCUUAGUCGCUGCUGCAACCUCACCACUUUACCCCUUCCUUUCCCAUUAAGCUUUGCUAGUCUUGAUACCCAUGGUAAUGGGAUUGCUGAGUCCUCAUGGCUCACAGAUUACUACAACAAUAGUUGUAGGUACAGGUUAUGCGACGAUCAUGACGUGAGAGCGAUGUUUGCUUGGUUUGGAGUUCUUCUUCUGCUUUCAAUCAUGGGAUAGGUUUCAGGUCGGCAGCCUGGGCUAGCAGGGUCGAUGUCGUUUGAGCUUCUGCUUGUGUUUCAUCCGUAGUCGGAUGGUGCUCUUUUGUAAGAUGAUGGUGUAUUCGUGUGGCAUUGUAUGCCUUUUGUAUGUAUCCCCAUCUAUUUUGUAAUGUUGAUGUAAUGAUAUCCACCUUGCAAAAGCGUUUCAAUAUGCGGUUCUAUCCUUGGGGGACCUUCGAGUCUCUUUAGGAUAGUAUUGCAUAUUGCGCGUGACAGUCUGGUUCCUGCAGCGGCAGUGAAUGCGGGCGGCAAAGACCAACUCCUUACUCUGGUGGGAGGAGGACGGACAGAGGAGACACUGGACAAAGGGAUCUCUCUUGCUUCUUCCUGCAGCGAUGGUGAGUGCGGGCCCGCGCUGGCGACGACCAACAACGGGCCGGGCACGUCCAGCGGCGGGAGGACGGUGGACGGAGGUGUGGGAUUUUGGGGAAUUUUAGAUUCGAUUUGGAGCUCGGUGCGACUGGGAUUCCAUUUGCUGGGUGGGUGCACCAUGCAUUUUACAUGGGAUUGGGUGGUGUUCGUUGGAUAUUUUGAAUUUCUUUGGUAUUUGGAUUUUUUUAAAAGGAUAUUUUGUCGACGUGAUCACUGUUUUUUAAGACCUUGGUAACUAGCUUUGUUAAACUCAAAUAGUGCUUACAUUGUCUGCUAAAAUUUGACGAUUGUACCUGGAGAUGCAUCUAUCUAUAAAGAAGGGGUGUUUGCACGCCCCUGCUCAGUUAGGUCAUUACCAACUAGUACAUUUGAUCAUCUAUUACAAUGCUCAAUAGUAAAUUUCCCAAACUCACAUAAUAACUCUCUACGAUCAUCUAAAACUGAAGCUGACAUAGAAUGUCCCUCAUUCAGACGUAUAGCAUCGAUCACAACAGAAUUAUCUAUCCCCAUCAAGACAUUAUUGCACCUCGUGCUUUAAAGUCUCUACCUAGUAGUAAAACGGCUAUUGCUUCUGCCCGUACAUCACCAAAAUUACCCACAGUAUCAUCCAUAAUAAAUAAGGAAAAAACGCUUUCAGUUGAUUCAAUUAGUAGCAGUCCUCAUAGAAAUGACAAGUUGGCAAGUUCUCUCUUCCGGUAGAGACCGGAGAGACCCAGGUUCGAACCCAACUAGCUCUCCCCUUUUCCCUUUUAUAAAUCGUGAACACCUAUUUUUUAGCAAAGAAGGCAGGUUUUAUUCAUCUAUGGCAAUGUUUACAUGGAUUACAAAUAAGACGUGAGCAAUACCCAACCAUGUGUGUCUACCCUGGGGUAGGGUAACACCUAGCCUAGCCAUCUUAUGGGCUUCAACAUUGUAAGCUCGAGCUUCAUGAGCAAAAACACACGAACUAAACAUAGAUUCUAACUCUGUUAUUUCUUUGAUAACUCCUCCAUCCACGCCUCCAACUGCAUCACGAAUAUGGUUAAUGAACCCUUUAUAAUCUGAAGCAAUAUAAAGGUGUUGCAUACCGAGAUCAUGAGCAAGUGCUAGUGCCUCUCUGCAUGCCAUAGUUUACAAUACUGUUGGAGAAGUAAGACCUUGAACAACUAGUGUUGACGAGCCCAGGUGAUCCCCAUUGUUGUCAUCGCAAAUGGAUGCGGCUGCACCUUUGUUGUGAUCCAUAGAGAUCCUAGCAUAUACAUUAAUCUUGACACUUUCCAUCGUUGGUGGCCAAAAGGCCUUGUGUUGUCCGCGUCGCAGCCAAAAGUUUCGUCCCACCUCGCUAGCUGAGGGAGCUUGAGAGUGGUUUAUAAGCGCUGCUGUGCCCACUCUCUCGAGCUCCUCUCAACUGCAGGCUUUCGGGCCUACCUGUCACUUUGUGCUUGUGGGCCUACUGGGCCUUAAUCCUGGCUCAUGGUUGGGUUUCUAGUCGUAUUCAGGCCGUGGUGGCCCAGUAGGUGGCACUUUUUUGUUUUCUUUGUUGCUUUAUUUAUUUUAUUUUGUUUCUACUUACAACAAAAUGCUUACUGUUGCUAUUUUAUUAUUUUAUUUUAUUUUAUUUUGUUUCUACUUAUUUAUUAAAGCUUAUUUUGUUUCUACUUAUUUAUUUUACUUUGUUUCUACUUAUUUAUUUUAUUUUAUUUUUGCUUAUAAUGUUUUGAACAGAAAAUACUUUGAUACUUUUUGCCACAUCAUCAAUUUUUAACCCUUUCUGACUUUAUUUGUUAUUUUUCAUGCAUUUACUGAUUUUUUUGAGCUAUUCAUGUACAAAACGGACAAUUUCUUUUGAAGUAUCAGGGUUUCAUACGGAAACUCAUCUGUUACAAAGGGAUUUCAUUUUUUUUAUGAACUUAUUUGAACCCAGACUUUUUGUGUGUUCAAAAUGCACCAUUCAAAGCCACAUCAUCAAUUUUCAAUCCUUUUUGACUUCAUUUGUUAUUUUUCAUGCAUUUACUGAUUUUGUUGAGCUAUAAGACCCUGAAAUUCAAAAGCAUUUCAAAUGAACUCUGAAAAGGUUGAAAGUUGGCAUGGUAUCAUCAUUUCACCCACAUAGCAUAUGCAAAAAAGUUGAGAGGGUU
RNAcentral lists this long non-coding RNA (64067 nucleotides) under Triticum aestivum (bread wheat). Its description in RNAcentral is "long non-coding RNA (TAES_LNC011457)". The stretch from base 3915 to 4049 matches the Rfam family "MIR1120/MIR1122 microRNA precursor family". Lineage: Eukaryota; Viridiplantae; Streptophyta; Magnoliopsida; Poales; Poaceae. The record is from RNAcentral.